AUCCUAAUCCUUAAUAAGGCCUCAAGCAGCCUCUUCGAAGCCUAUUGGAUAUAGCCUUCGACCAAUAGGAAUGAAGAUCUCCAUUCCUUGAAUUCAUCCAACCAUGCCUUGCUUUCAUCCCUCCCAAUAAUCUUCUUAAUAGUUUAAAAUUUUAUCUUUAGACUCCAACCUUCUCUUAAGUUUUAUACUAAAUAUCUAAAUCCUACAUAAUAUAAACACUAUAAUCAAAAUAAAAAAAUUCUCAAAUAAAUUUUUCUGUAUGAAUUCUCUUUAAAUUUAUUUACUAACCACUCUAAUCUAGAUAAAGACUUACAAAAAUAUUAUAUGUCUUAAUUAAUUUUUACAUACUAUAAGCAAUUAUAAUAUAACAGUGUCUUCCAUCUUUAAAAGAAAUUGUCCUUGCUAUCCAAUCAACUUGCUUAUUUUCUAUCUACAACCAUGGCAUAUCAAAGAUAACAUCAUACAUUAGCUUUAUUAUCUUGAAUCUUUCUUUUAAGAAGUAUGUGUUUGUCAAUCUCAAAGUUGCUUCUUCAUACAUCUCACUCAAUAUGUUCUCUUGGUCAUCUGCAAAGUAUAUACUUCUUUUUUUGAUUUUUUUGAUUUUAAUUCCAAAUUAAUCAAUAAUUUUAGUUGAAAUGUAAUUUUUUUAUAAAACUAGAGUGUACAAAUACUUGAUAUGAUUGUCUUCUUAAUAGUCUUGUUAGAAGCACCAAUCGACUCUUUUUAUAGUUAUUUAAGGCUAUGCCAUUUGUUUUUAAGAGACAAUAGUUAUUCCUAGUACUGACCCCUAGUACCUUUAUUGUAGAGCCUCAUUUUCUUGCUCUGACUCAUUAUCAACAUGAUGAAUUUUGAGACUGUGAACUCGCCUUGUCUUGUUGAUACUUGUACUUAGAUAUUUUGAAUAACCUCUAAUCUGAUGGCUUGGGUUGCAAUAAUAAAAAUAGAAUCCUUUUUGUACCAAUAUUUGUCAUCUUUGUGGUAUCAAUGAUCCUUGUAAGGUAUCAAUCUCUAUUGGUAUUAGUUGUUGUGCUAUAAUAUUAGACAGUAGCAUAGGAAUUCGUGCUAUAAGUUGUGUUCCAUAAUUUUUGAAAUCUAUAGCAUUAACUUUUGCUGCAAUCUGAAUUACCUUUUGGAAUGUUUGUGAAUCUCUUAGCUCUACCUUUUACUAGACUCUAAGUUUCAAACCUCAUAACAAUUAAUCUAUCAUCUUUGCCUCCAAAACAUUACUAAUUUGGAGAUAUAAAGACUUGAAUUGGAAGACAUAAACUUGCACUGACCUAGCUUAUGUAAGAUUUAUCAAGUGAUUGUAUGCUAUUUUCUUCACAUUGAUGGGCCAAAUUUUUUUUCUAAAUACGAUCUCAAACUCCUCCUAAUUACAAAAUCUAUCUUGAGCUCCAUAACUUUGAACUCAAUAUCGCUACUAAAUUGCUACUGCAUCUCUCAAAUAGUUGGCUACAUAUAUAAUCUCUUCAGUGAUAUUCAUCUAAGAUAGUUGAAGGUAUUGUUGCAUAUUCAAGACCCAUUGAUAUACAUCUACUUGUCUUAAAGUUUGAGACUAUAUAUUAGACUUAUUCAAUUUCAAUUUAGCAAAUGCCAACUCUCUUAUCUUCAAAGCUUCUAUUUUUCCUUGCAAAGUAGCUAUCUAGCCUAAUAGGUGUUGUAUUUGAACCUCCAUCUAGGAUUGCUCUCUCAUAUCUUCCAUACUAUAAUUUCUUUGCUAAAUUCCACUAUUAUAAUGCCUUCUCAAUUGAUUUUUUAAGAGAAGCUUGUAAUAGCCUCAACACAGUAUCCAAUGUGACUACAACAAAUGACCUUGGACUAAAUGAUGACUAUUGACAUGCUAUCAAAAGUAAUUAGUCUAACACUUGCUCUAAUAUCAUUGAAACAAGACUAGAUUAAAUUAAAAAUCAAAGAUCCUUUCAAUCCACAAUAAUAUAAGGUUUCCUUACAAAAUAGGAUAAAAUAGACUAAAAUAAAAAUAAACAAAACUAAACAAAAUAAGACAUGAAAGACAAAACUGAGCAAACAAAAACAAAACAAAAAGAUGUAGAACCAAACUUUAUUAAGAAAAAAGAUCCAAAGCCAUGUCUAACCAAAUGCUUCAAAAGGCCUUAGCUAAUCCUAUUUAUAUCUUUUCCUACUAUCAUAGACUUUUUAAAAUAUUCUUAGAUGGUGGGCCCUAUUUAAAUAACUACCUUAAACUCCUUUUUGAGAAGGUUCUAUGAUAGGCUCUACUUGGAUAAUCACUCUAAGCUUUCUUUUAGAAGGUUCUAUAGUGGGUUCUACCUAAAUAACCACCGUAAGUCCUUUCUAGAGUAUUCUAUAGUGGAUCAUAUUUGGUCCACUAACUUAACCUCAAUUAUAGAAACUUCUAUGGUUCUAAAUUAUCUUAUCUAUAUUUUAUUACGUCUCAAAUCUAUGAAAAAGCUUCUAACACUGACAAGCCAAAAUUUAAAUAAUAUUUAUUUAUUUAAGCUAAAGCAUUUGUGAUGACACCCAAAUAAAGUACUAUAUUUGCUAUCUAUGUAAAUCCAUAAUUAAAAUAUGUAAUUACUAUAUUAAGAAUUAUAGAAGCAUAUAAGGAUUUUGUAGAUGUAUUUGAAAAGAAAAAUGUGGACAACCUGUUGAAGCAUUGUUGUUACAAUUGUACAAUUGACCUUCAAAAAGGUGCUCAACUAUUGUUUGGACCCAUCUACAAUUUAUUCUAGAAUAAGUUUGGGACUUAAAAAGAAUAUAUUGAUAAAAAUUUAGCUAAGAAUUUUAUUUGAUAUUCCAAGUCGCCAACUGAUGCUGUGAUAUUAUUUAUGAAGAAAAAAGAUAGAUCUUUACAAAUAUGUAUUGAUUAUUGCAGUCUUAAUAAAAUCAUGAUAAAGAAUUGAUAUCCAUUGUUAUUGAUAUCUAGCCUUUUUUAUCAACUUUUCCAAGCAAAUAUCUUUACAAAGAUUGAUCUACAAGGCAUGUAUAACUUGGUACGUAUUAAAGAAGGAGAUGAAUGGAAGACAACAUUUCACACUAGGUAUGGAUAUUUUGAUUACAAUAUCAUGCCUUUUGGACUUACCAAUAGACUAGCCAUAUUCUAAAACUUAAUGAAUGAUAUAUUUUACAAAUAUUUUGAUGACUUUAUUGUGAUAUAUUUGGAUGAUAUUCAAAAAAAAUUCAAUAAUUUAGAAGACCACAAAAAAUAUGUCCGCCUUGUGUUGGAAAAGCUACAAAGUAUUGGACCAUAUAUAAAACUGGAAAAGCAUGUACUUCAUGCACCUCAAGUCGAAUUUGUUGGAUAUAUUAUUUCCAACAAAGACCUUUUUGUUGAUUCAAAGAACGUACAAGCAAUAAUCAAUUGAACAAAGCCAAAAAUUGUACAUGAUAUUCAAUACUUUUUUAGAUUUAUAAAAUUUUACAAAGUUUUUGUUAGAAAUUAUUCUAAGAUUGCUACUCUAUUUAUAUGAUUAAUAUGCAAGGACAAGUUAGACUAGGGCCUCAAAAUAAAAAAAAAACUUUUCAAAGCUUAAAAGAUGCUUUUAUAAGAGCUCUAAUUUUGAUACAUCCAAAUUUCAAUAAGUCCUAUUUUAUAGAAUUCAAUGCUUUAAACUUUGCAUUGAACAAUAGUCUUAUCUCAAUAUGGAAAAGAUGGCAAAAUUCACCUAAUUGCAUUCUAUUCAAGAAAAUUUUCAAUGGAAAAAAUCAACUACAAAAUCUAUGAUAAAGAAUUGCUUGCUAUCAUUGAUUCUUUCCAAGAGUGGCACCACUUUCUUGAAGGUACUUCCACCCAAAACUCAUGUCCAAGGUGUUGUAUAUGAAGCAUAUUCUUUGCCAUCUCCACAAUGGUCUGAUUUUCUCUUUCACGAACUCUAUUUUGUUGUGGAAUAUAAGGAGUGGAGGUCUGUCUUACAAUACUGUGGUUGUCGUUUUACUUAUUCGGGAAGAAACCUCCCAGAAUAAAUCCAUAUAUGGAAAUUCGAACACAAGGAAAGACCAUGUAUAUGAGCUCCAAUUAUUAGGGUCAUGCAAUAAAUUGCUACUGCUGAAUGCUUACCAUACCGAAGAACACUUAACUUUUCUUCCUACUGUCCACUCUCUCAUAUCAAUACAAUAACAUCUACAACAACGAUUUCAGUACCCUGUGUAAUUCACAAACACACAAGCAUAUCCCAAACCCUAGAACAAACAACUUCUAAUCCACAGAAUCUGAUCAAGAUAAUUCCUUCAAUUACAAUUUCUCUCCACUGAACUUAGAACCUUGCGAUAAAUAGUGAUUGGAAACUUUCGUACAUCCUCAAUUUUUCACAACAAUUGAUAAACAAUGAUCCAUAAAUAACUUUGUAAAUCAAACAUUAAUUCAUUAAAUCAAUUUUCUUCACUAGAAUCAAUACUAAUACAAAAGAAACAAGAAAACUAAGAAGAAGAGAUAGCACCAAGCUUAUCCCUGGCUCAGUACUAUCGUAGUCUGGCCCUCGGCUCAUGACUAUCACAGACUGGCAUUUUCUUCCCCUCUCCCAUUCUCCUUAUACUACCCUGAGAUAACAACUCCUAUAUUACAGAUGAUAACUACUUUUCUUGACUAUUCAUCCAUUCUACCUGCUAAACCACCUUUUCAACAGUUAUCUAUCCCUGUUUAUACUAUACACUAGAUAUCUAUAUUUUGAAAAUAACUACUUAUUCUACAUAGCACCACUCCAAACUAUGCAGCGUCCCCGCAAACACAGUAUUGAUAAACAAAAACCAAUCCCUUUUUUUUUUAACUGGAUUGUUCAAAAACUUCGAUUUCUGGCGCUGGCUCCAUUUGGUCUUGUUUCAAUACUAUAUCUUCUUCCUCCGACUUGUUCUAAAUCUCUGUCCUUAAUUGAACUGUUAAAUCUUUAUUAUAUGCUCCCAAUUCUCAAACCUGAGCUUCUAAUUGGAGGAUUUUGGCAUCUUAACUUUCAAUUAUUGCUACUAUUGUUACAAUUUCUCCUCCAAUUUUCCAAUUCUUACUCCCGUUGAGGCAAAUAUCUGUGACUGAUCAAUACUGACCAAAUCACUCUCCAAUUUCAUUACUGUUUUCUUCAAAACAAAAUUUUUUACCUGUAGCUCAUUCGUAUUGUUUUGAUAUUGGUCACCCAAUUAUUUCUUUUCAAGCUCCUAUGCCUCCUUCUCUCGUUCCAUCUUCAACUAAGCGUUCAUCUUCUCAUGUUCCAAUCUAUACAAUUUGUGAGUUUGUAAUAAUUCUUGCUUUUGAUUUUUUUGAAUACGUUGAAUCCUCUAUUUUUCUUUUGACAAGUUUUUCACUUUUUCAUCCAAUUCACGUUUCACUCAUAUCUUGGAUUUUGAUUCUACCUUGAUGGCUUGUUCCUAUUUUCUGAUUUUAUAAUUUUACUCCAAUAUUAUUUUCUUGCUCGCUUCCACUUGCCUUUUUAAGCUACCCUCAUCUUUGAGCUUACUCACCGUAAGUUGCAGUUGGAAAAUUUGACCCAAUAUAACUUAUUUAAGAUUCUACCCUUCCGUUACACUCCGUUCUAACCCUAAUUGGUUGCUUUUCCUUGGAACUGGUAUUGGUGUCAUCAUCUCUAUUGUCGGCCGAAUUCGAACUUGCUCUAGUGUAGAUAUUGGUCUUGCUUUCCGUUCUCCUGCUCUGUUGGAUUCUCUCACUUCAUACACCAUUAUCCCUGGACUAACUGUUCCUAUUUGUAAACUUGGAACUACUGGUUGAGAUUCAUGUUUCAAUGUAUACUCAAUCACUAAGUUUACAUAAUUGGAACAUAAUAGUGAAGCAAACUUUCCCAUCUUCCUCUUAGCUCCCAUUUCUGCAUGUAUCCUUGUGGGCACAUAAGCUGUCCAAUUGAAUACCAUACCUUCUAGUAUUCCUAUUGCGGAAAACAACAAUCGCUUCACCAUGUAGGUGGUAUGCCGAUUCAAUGCUAAUUGCUUCUGAAUGAACUGCAUCCAUUCCAUAAGUUCGGGCAUAAGUGCCUCUUGUAUCUUCCAUCCUUAAUUUCACUUGAGAAACGACAUACCUCCUUUGAAGUAGCUCCCUAGCUUGAAAACAUUUGAUGCGUCUCCUCCCACCUCAAGCUCUCCGGUUGGUAAAUGUAAAAUCUUGUGUAAGAUAUUCUCAUCUAUCUCAAUCAGGACUCCUCUUACCAUACUCGAACAAUCCUCUGAAUCAUAAUUUUUUAUAUAUUUUGCCACUCAUUCUACAUCAAUUGGUGGUAGUUUAUCCAAUCCUCGCAAAAACGUAAAUAAUUGUGCAUUUCUAAAAACUUUUUGUAUUUUUAAUGACCAACAUAUAUCUAACUUCAUCGGUUCCAUGUUGGUGAUAACUAUAAGAGACGGUGUCGUGUUGUAACACGAGUAUACCGUGAAAAUAUAAAGAAAGGAGACUUUUAUUAAUGUUCACUUACCUUGAAUAUUGAGAGCAACGACCAAUUUCAGUGCCAAUAUUCAAGGGCCAGUUCAGACACCCCGUCACAGUCGGUGAGGGCAUACUUACCAGUAACGAAAUGCUCUGUUCCAGUCCAAUAGUGGGAGUCAACAGAAUUGAAAGGACUAAAUUGAUGACUGAGCGAGCCUGACGCGAAGGACCAAUUUGACCCAAUUACGAGAACAUCCAGAUUUUACUAUGGGCCUCUUAGCCAAUCUAACGCGAAGGACCAAUUUGACCCAACUAUGGGAACAUCCAGGUCUUAAUAUGGGCCUCUUAGCCAAUAUGAAACCUAAUUUGGUUGGAUGACUCAAUGUGGUCCCGAUUACAGGGGUUUCGAUUCCGUUUCAGACUGUCCUGUUCUUUGUGCUAUUUCAAGGAAAAUUUUUUCUAAAAAAAGAACCUUUUAAAAGGUAGAAAAUAAAAGAAAAAGCUGUGACGGUGGAGCCAAUUCCAGAUCCAUGACUAGGAUUAAGAUGAGAGGCUAGGGUUUGAAAGAGGAGAGAAUUAGGAUUAAAGGGGAGAAUAGAUUAAGAAAUUAAGGGAAGAGAAUCAAGGGUUUUAAGGAUCGGAGAACUAGCUUCAUGCUUUGGAGGAGGAAAAAAGACAGAGAAUUAAGGUUUUUUUUUUCUUCAUAGGGUUUUGGGAAGAUGGAGGCAAUCAUUGCUGAAAGUUAGUGUUGUACUGGUGAAUCGGGGUUUUAAUGAAGUGGAUGUGAUUACUCUUGACUGUUUUAUAAAAUCAAAGUUAUGUCUGUGAUUGAAGAAUUAAAAAGGUGUCUAUAGGAUUGAGUAUGCGGAGUGAAUGAAAAUUUUUGGGUUAAUCUAACAAGACAGUCAGUAGAUACAAGGUCGUGAGUAUAAAGCGGUAUUGGAGAUUAACAAAUUGGAUUGUUCGGGGUUCUCUGUAAUGUCUAGAGACCUAUCGAUUGGGGCAAAAAAGAAUUUCAACGAGCAGUGAAAAGACAUCCAUAUAGAUUUAUGGUAUAUUCUUGUAAUCGUUUAUAUUCUAACAGUCAAAAACCAAUAGACUGCUUGAAUAUUAGCGAAUCUCUAUACUACCUCCUACAGCGAGAUGUUCGGUGCAUUCACGAGCAGGAAAGCACGUAAUACGACACAAGUGGUGAACCCGACGUGAAAGCUUGAGGUGGAAGGUAUUAGAUUUCGUUUGAUUUUAUUUUUAUUUUUAUGAAGAAUGAAAAUAAAAAUUUUGAAGGAUCUUUGGAAGGAGUUUCUGGCGGGGGUUCUUCUAAAGGACAAGGUAUGCAUAUGGAUCCAUCUAUUGCUAAUAUGUUUCAAGCCUUCUCAUUAUCAAUGCAGCAAUAGCAAAGCAAUGAUCGAAAAUAAGCUUUGGCAACCAAAGCAUUGCAAGCAGUGGUCAAUAAAAUUGAUCAAUUUGAUGGAAGGAAUAUUUUAAGGUAUUUAAGAUGUUAUGUUCGUGAAAUGGAAUUAAAUCGGAUUUCUGAGAAGAAAAUGGUUGAAUUAUUUGGACUUGCCACGAUACCGAAGAUAAGAGACUAUAUUACAUCGAUUACGGAUCGUUAUGGGAAUUCAUGGGAGGUUUUUUCACAUGCAUUGAAAGACGAAUAUUUCUUGGAAGAUGUUGAUCGCAUUACUGAGAAGCUAUUUUUGGAAUGGAUUGAACGACCUAAUAAGAAUUUGUAAGCAAUAGAGCUACUAAGGGAAUUUGAGAGGCAAUACUCUCAAUUAUCGAAGGUAGAAAAAUUGACAUUGGAGCCGAACAAAGUUGAUCUAUUUCUUCAAGCUGCUGAUGGAGAAUUGCAAGGGAAAUUAGAACUCCUUCUUCAAGACAAAGAAGAAGAUGAAGGAUUGACAACAAAGUGGAAGAACAUUGAAGAUGCGAUGGGGUUGCUUGCAAAAAGAGAAAGGAGGAAGGAUAGGAGUAAUAUUCCGAAAAUAGUACAAGCAUCCAAAGCUCCAGUACGUACAACACCACCAACAAUGCCUACAGUUCAACCUUCGACAUCCUUAUAAAAGAAAGCAGAUAUGGGGAUGGAAGAAAUUAUACGAGGAAUAUAAGAUCUUCAAAUCAAAUUAGCAAGACUUGAAGAGAAUACUUCUACAAAUAAUUUGAAGAAUGUUUUAAAACAAGGAUAUUGUCAAGGACAAGGACUCGAUGAAAAAAUAGUUCAGACAAGUAAGCCUUCACUCAAAGAAAAGUAACAAAAUAUGAAUAAUAAGUAUGUAUAUUGAAAAGAGAAAUUAAAAUGGCUAUUACCAAAAGACAAGAAAACUAGAGACCCUUGAAACUAGACUAAAAGCAAGAAAGGAGUUGACAAGAGUGAAGAAGCCUUCACUCUUGUCUCUAUAUAUACUAUCUAACUAGGGGCUACGUGGUAAUGUUCUAUAGGACCUCUAAUAUGUGUUGACUUUGUAGGACACAUGCCUUGACUUACAAGGCAAGUUUUUCUACGUGUGGGCCACAUAGUUAGCUUAAUCUCCAAGCUAACAACAUGUGUGGCACAUGGCCAACUUGUUGACCACGUUUCUAAUCCAAAAAGUCAAUUAAAGACACCUAUGAAGUCAAAGCAACGUCUAAGAAGUUUCUAGGAAGCUUCUAUAUUAAAUAUUAUAGAAUUAACUUACUUUUAUCUACUUUUAGUUACUUCUACCUAUUCCUAUAUGUAAUUAUUAGCUUACAUGAUUAUGGCCGUGACAUUACCCCCCCUUCUAGAGACGAGUUCCACGAGGAGCGGUCAUCAUAUGUUGAAGAAAUCUAUGAUGCGGCAAAUUAUAUUCGCCACAUAUUCUGAUCUUUGUUCUCUUCGAAGAUGAUUGAUAGGGCCUCUCAACCAUCGGUAGUGUCCCAUACCAGGGCGGGAAGACCAUCCAGUUAUUUGAUCAUUGUUGAGGCCUUCGUAACUUCCUUCGGAUAGAAUAUUUGGAACACCAUCUCGAGUUGUUCCUACCUCUAGCAAAAUCACCAAACAUCGGGAGUCCCUUCCCAAAUCGUGAUACCAAACGCGUUGUAUCGCACCAUCUAUUUGAGGAAGAACAUGUCGUUUUUGAAGAUCUUCAUCUCGAUUGCGUCGUCUUGAAGGUUGUGACAAUCGUAAUGUCUCGUCCGGUAGGUCAGCAAACAAAGGUUCUUGAGUUGAAUCUGCUGGUUGUUGGCUCUCCAUCUAAUUAGCGUCACAAAUGCAAAGAAGUUAUAAACAAGGAUAGGAAAUUGAAUGUUAUCUUGCCUCAAUCUUGUCUCUUUUAUAAGAGAGAUUUUCAUCUUGGUUUCGAUGGAUGUCGUUGAUGAAAAACUUUGACUUUAGCUGAUGCAUUUGCUAGAUUCCUGGAUGGCUCCCAUGUGCGUUCACUAAUAUCAUAUCCGCGCCAAUGAACAAGAUAUUCCAGCUUAUUUCGAAGUCGCCUUGAGUCUAAUAUCUCUUCCACCUCAAAUUCUUCAUUAUUAUCUACUCCUAUAGGAGGCGGUGGCAUUUGUCUUCUUCCUUGUAUAUCCACUGUCUUAUAUGAUUCAAGAAGAGAUACGUGGAAUACAGGAUGGAUCUUCAUUGACUCCGAUAGAUGUAACCGAUAUGCAACUGGGUUGAUCUGUUCAGAAACAGAAAAGGGGCCAAGCCUACGAUAGUCCAACUUGUCACAAGGUCGAGUAGUCUUGAUAUUGCAACGAAGUAGCCAUAUCUUAUCACCCACGUUGAUUUGUGGUUGCUUCUUACGAUAUAGAUCUGUAUUUAUCUUUUGUAGUUCUUAAGCUUCCUUCAAUUGCGUCUUCAUUAUUGCAUGUAACUCUGACAACUGAUUUGCCAUAUCUUCUGCUGCAGGAUUAUCAACUUUUGAAAAAUCAAAAGUAUCAAGUCGUGGAUGAUAGCCAUAAUUGGUAAAGAAAGGUGUUUGUUGCGUGGAAGAAUGUACCGUAUUAUUAUAAGCAAACUCUACCAAUGGCAGAAGGGUUGUCCAAUCAUCUUAUUGGUAGUUGAUAGUACACCUUAAAUAUUGCUCCAAGACUUGGUUUACGUGCUCUGUUUGUCCAUCAGUUUGAGGAUGGAAAGCCGAAGAUAGCUUUAUGUCCACUUUUAAAAUCUUGAAAAAGGUCCUCUAAAAUCUUGACACAAAUUGAGUUCCCCUAUCUGAUAUGAUAUCUUUAGAUAAUCCAUGAUAGCGAUAGAUAUUAUCAAUGAAAAGCUUAGCUGUUUCUUCACCUGUGAUAGAUUUUGUACAUGGCACAAAAUGUGCCAUCUUGGUGAAACAAUCUACUAUCACAAAUAUAGAAUCAUAAGAUCUUGAGCUUGAAAGAUCUAUGAUGCAAUCCAUAGAAACAGAAGACCAUGGUUGUUCUGGUAUAGGUAAUGGCUGAAGAAGUUUGUAAGGUCGAUGAUGAGGAAUUUUUGAUCUUGAACAAAUAUCACAUGAUUGUACAAAGUCUUUGACUGACUUCCAUAUUUGUGGCCACCAAAAAUCUCUUGAUAUGAGUUCCAAAGUCUUAUUAUAUCCAAAGUGCCUUGCUGCUGGAAAGUCACGACGUGCUUGAAGAACACGAAAACGUUGUCAUAUUACGUGCUUUCCUACUCGAGAACGCGCCGGACGUCUGGCUGUAGAAGGUAGUAUGGAGAUUCGUCGAUAGUCACGCAGUCUAUCAGUUUUUGACUGCUGGAAUAUAAACGACUGCAACAAUGUACAGUAAAUCUAUACGGGUGCUCUUCGACUGCUUGUCGAAGUCCUUUUUGCCCGAGCCGAUAGGUCUCUAGACGUUAUAGAGAACCCCGAACAACCCAAACUGUUAAUCUUCAAUACCCCUUUGUACUUACGAUCUUGUAUCCACUGACUGUCCUGUUAGAUUAAUCCAAUAAAUUUCAUUCACUCCGCAUACUCAAUCCUAUAGACACCCUUUUAAUCCUUCAAUCACAGACGUAACUCAAUUUUACAAAACAGUCAAGAGUAUUCAAAUCCACUUCAUUUAAAAAUCCCGAUUCACCAUUACAACAUUGACUUCAGCAGCGAUUGCCUCAGUCUUCCCAAAACUCUAUGAAGAAGAAAAAUCCAAAUUCUAUGUCUUUCCUUCCCCGACCCGAAGCAUGAAGCUCCUCUCUCUAAUUCCCUUGAUCUUCCAAAAACCUCCAAUGAAAAACCGAACUGGUAACCUUGCAGAAGCUUGAAAAAUCCUUCCCCCCCGAUUUCCCCUCAAAAAAAAAACCUCACACCCUCCAAAACUAUAUCCCCCCUAACCUUAUCCUCUGAAUUUCUUCAAUCUUCCGUCUUAGAUCCGGAAUUGGCUCCCACCUCAAGCUUGGAUCCGAAAUUGGCUCUCGCCGUCAAGCUUUCUCCUCCGUUUUUUCCUUUAAGAAAUCCAUUUACCGAAAACAACGUUCCCUGAGACGGCACAGAGAACAGGACAGCCUGAAACAGAAUCGAACCUCGUAAUCGGGACCACAUUGAGUCGCCCGACCAAUUCAGGUCCUAUAUUGGGAAAGAUGCCCGUAGUAACCUAGAUGUUCCCGUAAUUGGGUUAAAUUGGUCCUCGCGUCAGAUUGGCUAAGACCCGUAGUAAGACCUGGAUUUCCCGUAAUUAGACUGCAUUGGGUUGACCGACCAAUUCAGGUCUGAUAUUGGAUAAGAGGACCCGGAUUGGAUUAUCGAAAUUGGAUCCAAUUGGCUCCUCGAACCCGUCAUGUGAAUUGGUCCUUCUCUUCCUGCUAACUCCCGUUAUUGGAAUCGAACGGGGCAUUUCAGUAUGCUCCGGCUGACUAUAACGGAGUCACUGAACCUGACCACUCAGUAUUUGUACUGGAGUUGGUCGAUGCUCCCAAUAUUCGAGGUAACUGAAUAUUAAUAAAAUUCCCCUUUCUUUUUAUUUUCACUAUAUACUCGUGUUACAACACGACAUCCACCCCCUCUGAACCUGUGCAUCCUCCGGUAUGCACCAAUUUACCCAAUUGCUGUUUGAUUCAGAAUAUAUUCCCUACGUCUUUGUCCAGUUCGUCUUCGUCACCUUCAUUAUCCAUAUCACUUUCAUCUUCUUGCUGCGGAAUCUCUGUACCUUCAUUAAGGUCUUCCAUAUUCAUCUCUGCGUGUCUUCGUUUAAAUAUUUUUACUCUCUUCCCUGCAAUUGGUAUUUUCAAUUUUGUACCAUCUAACUCCCGUAAUGAGUAAGUCGCAUUAUCAUGAACAGUUGUUACAACAUAUGGUCCAAACCAACGUUUUGAAAAUUUCCGCAAAGUACUAUGUUGAUUAUCCAGACUAUUGUCAUAAACAAGUACCCAGUCACCUUCCUCGAUUGCUUUUGGUCUCAAUCGAUGUUGCUUAUCGAAUCGCGCCUUGUUUUGUAACCUUGCUCUUUUUAACCUUUCCAAUGCUAUUUGGACAUCUUCCGUUCUUUGCUCCAAUUGUCGAAUCCUAAUAGCCAGAAGUUCUUCUCUUGUCAAUCCAUCUUCCCAUGGUAGCAUACUCCAAGUAAGUACCUUUUCUUCAAUCGGCAUAAUUGGUUUUUGACCUGUCAUAAGUUCUACUGGCAUAUAUCCUGUCACCAAACUAUGUGUUGUUCGAUCAGCCCAUAAUACAAAUGACAAAAGCCGUGGCCACUCUUUAACCUUCCCAUUACAAGCUUUAACCAAUGCUUUUACAAUCGGCGGGUGACCGCGUUCGCUUUUCGCAUUCCCUUCCGGAUUAUAAGCAGUAGUCAGUGAUAGUUUAACUCCACAUUUUUCAAAGAACCUACGAGCUUCUUGUGCAUUUAAUUCUCCACGAUCUGCAGUGAUUUUUCCUAUGCACCCGUAAUGGCAAAUGACAUCUUCAAGCAAAAACCUACAAAUCCCCUCUGUAUAUUUCGUCCUCAAUGCUCUUCCUUCUACUUGAUUUGAUAAAUCUUCACAAGCUAAAACCAAAUAUCUCAUCUGCCAUAACCCAACUGGCAUAAUAACCAAAUCAACAACCCAUUUAAAAUGAAUAGCCAGAGGAUACGUAGAAUGAAGACCGUCUUGAUGUAAAAAUCCAUAUGCUUUUUUUCUUAUUUGUUUGAAUUUUUCUGUAGACCAAUUCCCCUGCUUAGACAAGGUAUUCAAAUAAUGACCAAUAUCCAAUAAUUCUCCUUCAUAAGCUUCUUCAAGAAAUAGCUGGUCUUCUCUGUUGAGAUUUGAUAUUGAAUAGAAUUUCAAUCCGACAUCAUCAAUGUCUUCAACCAUUUCGUCCUCCCUCUCGUAUCUUGCUCGAGAUAGCAUGUCUGCUACUAAAUUGUCCUUUCCAGUGAUAUGCUUAAAUUCUGGAUUUAGUGACUUAAUAUAAGCAAUCCAUCUCAACAUUGCAAUAUCUGGCGUUGAACAGUUAAUAAUCAUUCGAAGCAAUGGCAAGCAAUCUGUUUCAAUUACUACUAUUGCCCCAAUCAAAUAGUCCUUUUCAGCUUUCAUAGCCGAAACGACUCUCCAAAGUUCUCUUUUUACUUGCGAAUAUGCACGCUGACGAAUACUUAAAACUUUAGCCCCAAAUCGAACUGCAAAUCUACUCCCAUUCGAAUCAUCUUGACCCACUGCCCAUCCAACGGUAAUUGGACUAGCGUCUACAGUAAGAAUCACUGGUCUAUUGCACUUAUAAUCAACCUUCCUCAAUAUUGGAGGUGACAUCAAUAAUUUCUUCAAUCUUUGCAUUGCCUGAAUAUGCCUUUCUUUCCAUUCAAAUCGGUAACCCUUGCGUAACAGUUCAUAUAAUGGAUCCGCUAUGUGAGCAAAAUGAGGGAUCCAGAUUCGAUAAAAUACACAUGCACCCAAAAACCUGCGAACCUCUGUUAAAGAACCACAAUCCUCUUUCAUCCUUCCAAUUGCAUCAACUUUAGUCGGAUCUGGUUUUCUUCCGUAAGAUCCGCAUAAAUGUCCAACAAUUACAACCUCUCGCACUCCAAAUACGGACUUCAUACCCGAUAAUGUAAGAUGAACUUCUCCAAGCCGAGUUAAAAUCUUUUCACAAUCUUGUAUAUGAUCAACAACAUAUCUGCGACACCCCCUCGUAUCUAAAGUUUCAUCCUUGUCUCCUUCUCUGCACCCCUUCAUAGGAAUAUCAUUCAGAAAAGGCAUAGUCUUUUCCGGGAUAAAAUCUCUCAAUACCUUAUUCAUCCCAUUCAUCAUAUGCGCAAUUGAGUUGGUCGCGCCUUGAGGAAGAGUGCACAUUCUAACCAAUCCAAGCGGUGUCCUCAUCGUUGUCAUAUCUCUACUUCCUUCGGCAAGUUGAAAUUGAGCAUAACCUGAAUACAAAUCACCCAUUGAAUAGAUCGCCCUUCCAGCAAACGCCUCAGCAAAUUCAUCCACAAUAGGUCCAAUUCCUGCAUUCCUGACAGUUACAGCAUUCACCGGCUGCAUAUCUUGAAUAAACCGUAGUGACCCAUUCUUCUUAGGUACCGUAAACCAUCGACUAGAAUACGGCGCAAAUGAAGGUUCUAAUAUUUUCAUCUUUAUCUUUUCUUUCAAUAGUUCGACCAAUUUAGGUAAAUGUGCCCUUGGUACUGGAAUCGGCCUUAGAUUCUAAGGUACAUGUGGUACAAUGAAGAUAACCAUAGGUGUUAUAAUAUUUGGAUCUACACACCCAAUUUCAUGAGAUUCGAAGGCAAACGAUCUACCUUGUUUAGCCAACAUCUUUUUGAAGCAAGUAAUUUCCUCCGGCAAUAAAGAACCAUCAGAACCAAUCUUCAAUUCUUCAAAAGUCUCUUCAGUAAACUGAUGUCCAAUACUCAUUGGAUCUCUUAAACUUGCUUCUUUUGAUGCUUCUCCCAUUUGUUCUUUAGAAUCCUCUGGUAAUGGUCCGGCAACAGGCUUUACCUUCUUAUCUGCCGUUUUAUAUCUCGUCUCUACUAUGACUUCUGGUGCUUGAAAAGAUUCAAGCAUGGUAUAAACCUCUCUCGAAUGAAUCUCAACAAUCUUAUCAUUAUCCCCUAACCCAAUAGAUGUAAUCAAUUCCAAUGAAUCUACCAGCCCAUUUUCUUCAUAAACACCCAAAAUCCUCUCAUCAUCUUGCAAUGUACCUAUCUUGCGUAACUGUCCUUCAAUAUCAUAUAAUCUUUUUCUUUCUUUUCUUUUAAAAUCUUCAACUUUCUUAUACAUAAUAUUUCCAUUCUCCAAUAUACCAAUAAAACUCGCAUCAAAGGCACCUUCAUCUCGCGAGAGUACCUCCUCUUUUGUACCUCCAUAAUCUUGCUUUACAGUGGUACCUCCCCAAAAUCCUUAAAUCCUUCAACAAUCUUUGGCAAUGGUUUCUCCCUCAACCUAUCUCGAUUCCGUUCAUGGUUAGGAGGUACUGUUAGAAAUUGUACAGCUUUCCUCCCAUCUUCGCUCCGUACCCUUGCAUAAGCAGAACCAUCGUCAAGUACCUUUGUUUCUAUCCGUAUUGCCGUGAUAUAAGGUUGUCCUAAAAUCAACGGAUAAGACGUUGUAUCUUGAACGAAGAAAUGUUGCUCCGUCGCAACAUCCCCAAUCCGAAUUUUGACAUCUAGACGAGCUCCAUAUAAUUCGCCUCGUGUGUUAUUAGCUGCUCGUAUUGCCCAUCCAUGUUCCAUAUCAAUUGGCCAUUUUUGCUUCUUAUAAAGAUCUUUAGACAUGAGAUUUAUUUCAGAACCAUGGUCCACCAAAGCAACUAUUGGUUCUUCUAUAUCUCUUACCUUCACCAAUACCUUAGUAGUUGCCCUUGCCCAAUGCUUUCGAGUAUAAUGGCUAAAAGUUUCCAUUUCUUUGUCACUAGAAUCUUCGAAACGUACUCGCUGAUUAUACCCAUUCUUUUCAUUUGUUGGUUGCUUGUAACCAAUAUCAACCUCUUCUUCAUCUCUACAUAUUCUUGCACCAAUAGCAUGACUCAUUCCAGUUUCGCUCAUUAAUUGCCUCUUUCGCUUAAUGCUGUCAAUGAUAACAUCAUGAAACUCCUUCUUUGCAAUUCCCAAGACUUCUUUCAAUGUGAAUUCCACCUUAGCGUUUAAUAUACGUUCUUCCAACACCCCUUUCAAAUUUGUUGCCGCUUCAAUGUCAGAAAGUAGCUUAUAAGCAAUUGAUUUGCCCUUAUCUUUUGUCUCCGUUGUUUUUCCUGCCAAUGAUGCUAAGGUAUCCUUUACAGGCAAUUCUUGUGAAGCUGCCUCCCGAGCCUUGUCUCCUCGAGUUUGCCUCUUAAAAGAAUUUCCUUCUCUAGUAUAAUCAAAAUUUCCUUGUCUUUUUUCUUCCAUCAAAGCUUCAUAUUGGCUCUUAGCAAUAUAUGCAUGAACUGAAAGAGACUCAACAGGAUCCUCCCAACCUGUUCUUCCUCGUAUUGUAGCUGCAGUUCUCAAUAACGCUUCUCGAGGUAAUUUCCCUUCUUGCAUUGUAGAAACGGCAGAAGCCCAAAACUCACUAGUUUCCGUACUUCCACCAAUUUCAUCAUCUACUCUAGCACCAUAACUUGCACUUUCUCGUACUACUGUUUCAUACUCUUUUAAGUAAUCUUGAACCAAUGCUCUCAUUCCUCCCUUGCCAAAAUUGGUUUGAAGAAGAUCCUCCCUAUCUUUCAAUGCUAUCUUCCCAUCUUUCCAGCAAAUAAUUCCCUGCCGUAUCAUAUUAUUAAAUUCAUUGCAAUCUUUUCUAGUGUGUGAAGCAUCAUCACACCAAAUGCAUCUUUGUACAUAUCCUUGUUUUGAAACAUUCUUCGAAUUGUUUAUAGAAGUAUUUUCUUCAAGUCUUGCCAAUUUGAUUUGAAGAUCUCGCAUUCCUCGUAUAAUUUCUUCCAUACCCAUAUCUACUUACUUUGACAAGGAUGUCGAAGGUUGAACUGUAGGCAUUGUCGGUGGUAUUGUACGUACUGGAGCUUUGGGUGCUUGUACUGUUUUCAGAAUAUUACUCUUAUCCUUCCUCCUUUCUUUUUUUGUAAGCAACCCCACCGCAUCUUCAACGUUCUUCCACUUCGUUGUCAAUCCUUCAUCUUCUUCUUUGUCUUCAAGAAGGGGUUCUAAUUUCUCUUGCAAUUCUCCAUCAGCAGCUUGAAAAAAUAGAUCAACUUUGUUCGGCUCCAAUGUCAAUUUUUCUACCUUCGAUAAUUGAGAGUACUGCCUCUCAAAUUCCCUUAGUAGCUCUGUUGCUUGCAAAUUCUUAUUGGGCCAUUCAAUCCAUCCCAGAAACAGCUUCUUAGUAACGCGAUCAGCAUCUUCCAAGAAAUAUUCGUCUUUCAAUGCAUGUGAAAAAUCCUCCCAUGAAUUCCCAUAAUGAUCCGUAAUCGAUGUAAUGUGGUCCCUUAUCUUCGGUAGCGUGGCAAGUCCAAAUAGUGCAACCAUUUUUUUCUCAGAAACCCGAUUUAAUUCCAUUUCACGAACAUAACAUCUUAAAUACCUUGAAAUAUUCCUCCCAUCAAAUUGAUCAAUUUUAUUGACCACUGCUUGCAAUGCUUUGGUUGCCAAAGCUUCCUUUCGAUCAUUGCUUUGCUGUUGCUGCAUUGACAAUGAGAAGGCUUGAAACAAACUAGCAAUAGACGGAUCCAUGUGCAUACCUUGUCCUUUAGAAGACUCCCCACCAGAAACUUCUCCCAAAAAUCCUUCAAAAUUUUUAUUUUCGUUUUCCAUAAAAAUAAAGAUAAAAUCAACCGAAAUUCAAUACCUUCCACCUCAAGCUUUCACGUCGGGUUCACCACUUAUGUCGUAUUACGUGCUUUCCUACUCGAGAACGCGCCGGACGUCUGGCUGUAGAAGGUAGUAUGGAGAUUCGUCGAUAGUCACGCAGUCUAUCAGUUUUUGACUGCUGGAAUAUAAACGACUGCAACAAUGUACAGUAAAUCUAUACGGGUGCUCUUCGACUGCUUGUCGAAGUCCUUUUUGCCCGAGCCGAUAGGUCUCUAGACGUUAUAGAGAACCCCGAACAACCCAAACUGUUAAUCUUCAAUACCCCUUUGUACUUACGAUCUUGUAUCCACUGACUGUCCUGUUAGAUUAACCCAAUAAAUUUCAUUCACUCCGCAUACUCAAUCCUAUAGACACCCUUUUAAUCCUUCAAUCACAGACGUAACUUGAUUUUACAAAACAGUCAAGAGUAUUCAAACCCACUUCAUUUAAAAAUCCCGAUUCACCAUUACAACACUGACUUCAACAGCGAUUGCCUCAGUCUUUCCAAAACUCUACGAAGAAGAAAAAUCCAAAUUCUAUGUCUUUCCUUCCCCGACCCGAAGCAUGAAGCUCCUCUUCUCUAAUUCCCUUGAUCUUCCAAAAACCUCCAAUGAAAAACCGAACUGGUAAGUUUGCAGAAGCUUGAAAAAUCCUUCCCCCCCGAUUUCCCCUCAAAAAAAAAACCUCACACCCUCCAAAACUAUAUCCCCCCUAACCUUAUCCUCUGAAUUUCUUCAAUCUUCCGUCUUAGAUCCGGAAUUGGCUCCCACCUCAAGCUUGGAUCCGAAAUUGGCUCUCGCCGUCAAGCUUUCUCCUCCGUUUUUGCCUUUAAGAAAUCCAUUUACCGAAAACAACGUUCCCUGAGACGGCACAGAGAACAGGACAGCCAGAAACAGAAUCGAACACCGUAAUCGGGACCACAUUGAGUCGCCCGACCAAUUCAGGUCCUAUAUUGGGAAAGAUGCCCGUAGUAACCUGGAUGUUUCCGUAAUUGGAUCAAAUUGGUCCUCGCGUCAGAUUGGCUAAGACCCGUAGUAAGACCUGGAUUUUCCGUAAUUAGACUGCAUUGGGUUGACCAGCCAAUUCAGGUCUCAUAUUGGAUAAGAGGACCCAGAUUGGAUUAUCGAAAUUGGAUCCAAUUGGCUCCUCGAACCCGUCGUGUGAAUUGGUCCUUCUCUUCCUGCUGACUCCCGUUAUAGGAAUCGAAUGGAGCAUUUCAGUAUGCCCCGGCUGACUGUAACGGAGUGACCGAACCUGACCACUCAGUAUUUGUACUUGAGUUGAUCAAUGCUCCCAAUAUUCAAGGUAACUGAAUAUUAAUAAAAUUCCCCUUUCUUUUUAUUUUCACUGUAUAAUCCUGUUACAACACGACAACGUGCUUCUCCUUCUGGAACAUAUAGGCGUCCUUCAAAAUAUAAUAGAUUAUUCUUGAACUCGAGCUUAGAAGAAUCAUGAGACUUGGAAGAAUUAUUCUCGAUAUCAUAAACAAGAGGGUCUGAGGACAUACUGGACUGGAUUUACUUGAAAAAAGUUGAAUCAACAGUCAAUGUUGAUUUCAUUGCUCGGAGAUGAAAUUGCUGUGGUUUCAAGAGGAUCGUUCUUUGUUGCUCAAAAGCAGCAUCUCCUUCUUUUGGUACAAAAUAAGAACGUCUAGAUAGGGCAUCAGAUAAACCUUGUUGUUUUCCUGGCCGAUAAGUGAUAAUGAACUCGAAUCUUGACAAAGACAUACUCCAACGAGCUUGAUGACGAUUCAACACGCGUGCUGACAUGAAAUACUCGAGGUUCUUGUGAUCUGUAUACACAGUGACUGGACUAGAAGCGCCUUCUAGAUAAUGACGCCAUUCUUGAAAGGAAUCCACGAUCGCAAGAAGUUCUUUAUCGUGGAUCUCAUAAUUGAUCUCGGCUGCUGAGAAUUUUCUUGAAUGAAAAGCUAUUGGAUGAAGUUUGUCAUCUGUUCCCAUUUGUGAUAAAACUGCACCCAAGGCAAAAUCUGAUGCAUUUGUUUCCAUAAAAAAUGCCUUGGAAAAGUCAACACGAUAUAAGACUGGUGCAGAGACAAACGAUGUCUUCAAGGCUUCAAAUGCUGCUUCCGCUUCUUGAUUCCAUUGGAAUUUAUCUUUACUAGUCAAGCGUGUAAGUGGAGCUGCAACUCGUGAGAAAUCUUUGAUGAAGAUCCGAUAAUAAUUGGCAAAUCCCAAGAAACAUUGAACAUCUCUUACUGUCCUUGGAAUCUUCCAAUCCAUGAUUGUUUGGACUUUCUUAGAAUCCAUCAUGAGACCAUCAUUUGAAAUGAUGUAUCCUAAAAAGUAAACUUGAGUAGUGUGAAAUACACACUUUUCCAUCUUGGCGUAUAAUCCUGCAUCUCUAAGUUUUUGUAAUACUUGACGAACAUGUAUUUCAUGUUCUUCGACGUUCUUAGAAUAGAUCAGGAUAUCGUCUAGAUAGCAGAUGACAAAAUUGUCUAAGAAUUCAUGAAAUACAUCAUUCAUGAGAUGUUGAAAAGCAGCUGGUGCAUUCGUGAGUCCAAAGGGCAUGACAUUAUAUUCGAAAUGUCCAUACCUGGUUCGAAACGCAGUCUUCCAUUCAUCUCCUUCUUUGAUCCGUACUAGAUUAUAUGCUCCUCUUAGAUCUAUUUUUGUAUAGAUCUUAGCUUGAUUCAACUGGUCAAGGAGUCCUGAUAUCAAAGGUAAUGGAUACCUGUUCUUGAUUGUGAUCUUAUUGAGUCCUCGAUAAUCAACACACAUUCGUAAAGAUCCAUCUUUUUUCUUUACGAAUAGAAUUGGAGCUCCUGCUGGAGAUUUUGAAUGGCAUAUGAAAUUCUUCGCUAAAUUCUCGUCAAUAUAUGUCUUGAGUUCAGCCAUCUCAUCUUGCGAUAAACUGUAAAUUGGUCCAAAUGGUGGCUGAGUUCCUUCCUUGAGGUCGAUUGAACUAUCAUAUGGGCGAUGCUCAGGAAGAAUAUCUGCAUUUUUUUUCUCAAAAACGUCUUGAUACUCCUGAUAUUGACUUGGAAUGCUACUUGAAGUCUUUACGUUUUCAGAAAUAGGUGCAGCAUAAAUAGCAAAAGUUAAUCCUUCUUUUGCUGCGUAUAUAAAUGCUUUUGCACCUAUCAGUACGGGUUUUACUAUACUAGACUUAUAAUUUUUUACUUGGUUGGUAGAACUAUUAAUAACGCUCUAGGAAAAGUCAAGUUUACAUAAAUUCCAAUCUAUUCAAGGGUUAUAUUUUUCUAGCCAAGAUAAACCUAAAAUAACUGGAUUGGAUGGAGAUUUAAUUAUGUUAAAAGCUAUGUAGCUAUCAUGACCGUCUAUUGUUACUUUUAUAGGAUGAGUUUCAUGAGUGACAUCUCCAUAAGACAAGGGACGACCAUCUAUGACUUCUACAUGUACUGGUUUAGGUUUCUGUACAAAGUGUAUUUUACGACUUUUAACAAAUUGUUCAUCUAAAAAACAUGCUGAGGCUCCCGAAUCUAAUAAAGCAGAGGCUUUGUAAUUCUUAGGUCCUAAAUAUAAGUCUAUUAUAAAACAAAGAGAGGAUUUUGAGGAGAGGAUAGGACCUUCAUUAGGAAUUGUACAAGGUUCCAGCUGCACGGUCCCUAUUGUAGCUGGACGAAUCCGUUUUCUGACAUGCUGUCUUCUUUGACCGUCGUACCCCUCAUUUUAUAGUUGCGUCUUUUCUUUGGACAAUGUUGAGCAGUGUACUUAGGUUCUCCGUAAUAUAAACAUAAUCCUUCUUGACGAUGACGAAUCUUUUCUUGCUCAGUUAGGGGUUUAAAACGUACUGCGUCAAUUUGCAUGUCUUCUACUUCCGAAUGUACGUUUGGCAAAGAUGUUGAUGUUGCCAUUGAGUAAUAACGUUGAGGUUCCCGUGAAUGAUUCUCGGAUCAAAAUUCAAAAAGUCGAUUAUCACAUUUUAUCGCAAAAUUGAUUGCUUGACUCAAAGUUUGAGGAUCAGGUAAGUUGAGCAUCAAUUUCUUUACUUCGUAUUGCAAUCCAUAAAGAAAUUGACUGAUGAGUGCAGCAUCAUCCCACUUGAUGUCAAUUGUAAGUUGUCGAAAUUGUGAAGCAUAUACUGUUACUGAGCGAUUUUCUUGUCGCAAAAUUCGGAUCUUAUUUGUUGCAACACGAGUUGCAUCGUGUUCACCAUACAUAGAUCGAAACUCCGCCAAAAAAGCUUCCAAAUUAUCCAAUAUUGGAUUUCGUUGUUCAAGAAAAGACGAAAACCACGAUAAUGCAGAAUCAGAAAGUAAAGUGCCAAUAAACCUGACUUGUGAUCCUGGAGUUGGAUAGCUUUGCGGUUGAAGUUCAAUUGCCAAUUAUACUUGAUUGUUGAACCCUCGAAACUUUGAUCUCGUACCAUCAAAUUUCUCAGGUAAGGCAAUUCUUGGUUGUCUAGUGCUUAUAGGGUGUUGUACAAUUGGAAAAAGAACGUGAUUUGUUGUAGAUGUUGAAGCAGCUCCGAUCAUCUCUAUAUCCCCACUUUCUACUAUUCUUGUUCUUUCCUGUGUUGGUGAAUUGAGUUGAUGCAUCGCAAGCAUUAACUCCCUCAUUUGCUCUUGCAUUUGUGCCAUUGCACUCUUCAUUUCAACAAGCUCUGCCAUAAUGACACUAAGAAGAAAAAUUUGUUUAAUAUUGCUCAAGACAAAAGAAAAGAAAGACUUGAUAACAAAGAAGAUACUAAGAACAAUAUCAGUUUAGAAGUGGGUAAUCCGCAAACUUCUAAUACGCUUAUGUCUUGUCAAGAGAAAGGAGUAAUCCACUCUUACUCAAGAAAAAAUAAAGCUCUGAUAUUGUAAAUGUACUCUUGUUAAUCUGUCAAGGACAAGAACUCGAUGAAAAAUAAUUCAGACAAGCAAGCCUUCACUCAAAGAGAGGUAACAAAAUAUAUAUAAAUAAGUAUAUAUAUUGAAAUAGAAACUGGAAUGGCUAUUGCCAAAAGACAAGAAAACUAGAGACCCUUGAAACUAGACUAGAAGCAAGAAAGGAGUUGACAAGAGUGAAGAAGCCUUCACUCUUGUUUCUAUAUAUACUAUCUAACUAGGGGCUACCUGGCGACAUUCUAUAGGACCUCCAAUAUGUGUUGACUUUGUAGGACACAUGCCUUGACUUACAAGGCAAGUUUUUCUACGUGUGGGCCACAUAGUUAGCUUAAUCUCCAAGCUAACAACAUAUGUGGCACAUGGCCAACUUGUUGACCACGUUUCUAAUCCAAAAAGUCAAUUAAAGACACCUAUGAAGUCAAAGCAACGUCUAGGAAGUUUCUAGGAAGCUUCUAUAUUAAAUAUUAUAGAAUUAACUUACUUUUAUCUACUUUUAGUUACUUCUACCUAUUCUUAUAUGUAAUUAUUAGCUUACAUGAUUAUGGCCGUGACAAAUAUGUACAAAGAUGCAUUUGGUGUGAUGACGCUUCACACAUUAGGAAAGAUUGCAAUGAAUUAAAUAAUAUAAUACGGCAAGGAACUAUUUGCUGGAAAGAUGGGAAGAUAGCAUUAAAAGAUAGGGAGGAUCUUCUUCAAACCAAUUUUGGCAAAGGAGGAAUGAGAGCAUUGAUUCAAGAUUACUUAAAAGAGUAUGAAACACCAGCAUGAGAAGGUGCAAGUUAUAGUGCUAGAAUAGAUGAUGACCUUGGUGGAAGUAUGGAAACUAGUGAGUUUUGUGCUUCUGCCAUUUCUACAAUGCAAGAAGGAAAAUUACCUCGAAAAGCGUUAUUAAGGACUGCAGCUACAAUACGAGGUGCAACAGGUUGGGGGGAUCCAAUUGAGUCUCUUUCAGUUCAUGCAUAUAUUGCUAAGAGCCAAUAUGAAGCUUUGAUGGAAGAAAAAAGACGAGGAAAUUUUGAUGAUAUGAGAGAAGGAAAUUCUUCUAAGAGGCAAAUUCAAGGAGACAAGGCUCGGUAGGCAGCUUCACAAGAAUUGCCUGUAAAAGAUACCUCAGCAUCAUUGGAAGAAAAAAUAAGGGAGACAAAAGAUAAGGGCAAAUUAAUUGCUUAUAAGCUACUUUCUGACAUUGAAGCGACAACAAAUUUGAAAGGGGUAUUGGAAGAACGUAUAUUAAGCGCUAAGGUGGAAUUCACAUUGAAAGAAGUUUUGGAAAUUACAAAGAAGGAAUUUCAUGAUGUUAUCAUUGACAGCAUUAAGCAAAAGAAGCAAUUAAUGGACGAAACUGAAAUGAAUCAUGCUAUUGAUACAAGAAUAUAUAAAGAUGAAGAAGAGGUUGAUAUUGGUUACAAGCAACCAACAAAUGAAAAGAAUGGAUAUAAUCAAUGAGUACAUUUCGAAGAUUAUAGUGAUAAGGAAAUAGAAACUUUGAGCCAUUAUACUCGAAAGCAUUGGGCAAGGGUAACUACUAAGGUAUUGGUGAAAGUAGGAGAUAUAGAAGAACCAAUUGUUGCUUUAGUCGACCAUGGUUCUGAAAUAAAUCUCAUGUCUAAAGAUCUUUAUAAGAAGCAAAAAUGGCCAAUUGAUAUGGAACAUGGAUGGGCAAUACGAGCAGCUAAUAACACACGGGGCGAAUUAUAUGGAGCUUGUCCAGAUGUCAAAAUUCGGAUUGGGGAUGUUGCGAUGGAGCAACAUUUUUUUGUUCAAGAUACAACAUCUUAUCCGUUGAUUUUAGGACAACCUUAUAUUACAGCAACACGGAUGGAAACAAAAGUACUUGACGAUGGUUCUGCUUAUGCAAGGGUAUGUAGCGAAGAUGGGAGGAAAGCUGUACAAUUUCUUAUAGUACCUCUUAACCAUGAACGAAAUCGAGAUAGGUUGAGGGAGAAACCAUUGCCAAAGAUUGUUGAAGGAUUUAAGGAUUUUGGGGAGGUACUACUAUAAAGCGAGAUUAUGGAGGUACAAAAGAGGAGGUACUUUCGCAAGAUGAAGGUGCCUUUAAUGCGAGUUUUAUUAGUAUUUUGGAGAAUAGAAAUAUUAUGUAUAAGAAAGUUGAUGAUUUUAAGAGAAAAGAAAAAAAAAGAAUAUAUGAUAUUGAAGGAGAAUUACGCAAGGUAGGUAUGCAGCAAGAAGAUGGAAGUGAUUUGGAUAAUGAAGGUGACAAAGGCAAACUGGACAAAGAUGUAAAGAAUAUAUUAUAAAUCAAACUACAAUUGGGUAAAUUGGUGCAUACCGAAGGAUGCACUGGUUCAGAGGGGGUGGAUGUCGUAUUGUAACAUGAGUAUACCAUGAAAAUAUAAAAAAAGGGGACUUUUAUUAAUGUUCAGUUACCUUGAAUAUUGGGAGUAAUGACCGAUUCUAGUGCCAAUAUUCAGGGGCCAGUUUAGACACCCCGUCACUGUCGAUCAGGGCAUACUUACUAGUAACAAAUUACUCCGUUCGAGUCCUAUAGUGGGAGUCAACAGAAUUGAAAGGAUUAAAUCGAUGACUGAGCGAGCCUGACAUGAAGGACCAAUUUGACCCAAUUACGGGAACAUCCAGGUCUUAUUAUGGGCCUCUUAGCCAAUCUGAUGCGAAGGACCAAUUUGACCCAAUUACGGGAACAUCCAGGUCUUACUACGGGCCUCAUAGUCAAUCUGAUGUGAAGGACCAAUUUGACCCAAUUACGGGAACAUCCACGUCUUACUAUGGGCCUCUUAGCCAAUAUGAGAUCUGAUUUGGUCGGGCGACUCAAUGUGGUCCCGAUUAUGGGGGUUUCGAUUUUGUUUCAGGCUGUCCUGUUCUAUGUGCUGUUUCAGAGAACAUUGUUUCCGAAAAAAGAACCUUUUAAAAGGCAAAAAAUGGAGGAGAAAGCUCUGACAGCAGAGCGAAUUCUGGAUCCAAGACUAGGGUUAAGAUGAGAGGCUAGGAUUUGAAAGAGGAGAGAAUUAGGGUUAAAGAAGAAGAUAGGUUAAGAAAUUAAGGGAGAAGAAUCAAGGAUUUUAAGGGUCGGAGAGUUAGCUUCAUGCUUUGGAGGGGGAAAAAAGACAGAGAAUUGGGGUUUUUUUUUUCUUCAUAGGGUUUUGGAAAGACGGAGGCAAUCAUUGCUCAAAGUCAAUGUUGUACUGGUGAAUCGAGGUUUUAAUGAAGUGGGUGUGAUUACUCUUGACUAUUUUGUAAAAUCGAAGUUACGUCUGUGAUUGAAGAAUUAAAAAGGUGUGUAUAGGAUUGAGUAUGCGGAGUGAAUGAAAAUUUUUGGGUUAAUCUAAUAAGACAGUCAGUGGAUACAAGGUCGUGAGUAUAAAGCGAUAUCGGAGAUUAGCAGAUUGGGUUAUUCGAGGUUCUCUGUAACGUCUAGAGACUUAUUGGCUGGGACAAAAUAGGAUUUCGACGAGAAGUCGAAGGACAUCCAUAUAGAUUUACGGUAUAUUCUUACAAUCAUUUAUAUUCUAAUAGUCAAAAACCAAUAGACUUUUUGAAUAUUAGCAAAACUCCACACUACCUCCUAUAGCCAAACGUCCGGUGCAUUCUUGAGCAAGAAAGUACGUAAUACGACAACGGUAAUCUCAGAUUACACUUAGACCUCACAUUACGGUGACUUUUCAAUCAUUUUGGUGCUCUCUUUGUUCUUUUUAUCGACAUUGUGAAAAUCAAACUCUCAAUACUUCCUCGCACUAAUACUAUUGUUGAUUACUGUCGUAAAACUUACAGUUCAAAGUACAAUGUCUGAAAUUUGCAACAAUGAAACUUUCUAUGAAUGCCCCGCUCCUAACAACUUACUCGAGGUCCGAAUCAAAAACAUCUAAUCUAGUGUAACUUAAUCUCAUGUCUUAUCAAGAAUGUCUAAUUUCUUGACUAGUUAGUUUCAGUAUCCAAAACUAACCAUCAAUCAUUUCCUAACUAUCACAACCUUUCCAAUCCUGUCGGUAAUCAAUAUUACAGAGACUUCCUCCCUCCACUGAGUAAAUCUAUCCCAGAUUUAUGUAUAAUACAGACGUAACCUGUUUCUAUUAACACGUAAAGUGAAGUGGGUUCCCAGAAAAUCUUUCAAUUGAAUGGAACUAAUAGGGAAACCUUCCACCACCCGAUAUGGUCCAUGCCAUCGUACUUGAAAUUUAUCAAGAAAGUUGUUAAAGUGGCUAUCAUAAAGUAGCACCAGAUUAUUGGACAUAAAAUAUUUCAGCCGUAACUUAUUGUCAUAAUAACUCUUUCUACAGCGCUGUAUAGCUUCCAUGAUCAAGAGAGCCCUAGCCCUAACUUCAUCCAAUUUCUCCAAUUGGACUAACCUAUAUUGAAGAGAGUCUCUGUCUCCCAAAUGUUCAUCCAACGUAAUUCGUAAACUUUGGACUUCCAAUUCAAUUGGUAGAAUUGCCUCCUGACCGUAUACCAAUUGAAAUGGGAUAGAAUUGGUAGUUACUUUAUAUGCAAUAUGGUAUGCCAAUAAAGCUGCAAAUAAUUUAGUAUCCCAAGCAGUUCCCGUUUUUGAAAUAGUCUUUGUUAAGAUCUUGCAUAGAAUACCAUUUAUCUUUUCGGUCCGCCCAUUGGCUCAUGGAUGAUAAGGUGUAGUUUUGUGGUGCUUGAUUUCAUACUUUGCUGUUGAUGCUUCAAUUGUGGCAUUAAAAAAAUAUAUAUUGCAAUCACUAAUCAAUUCUUUUGGACAACCAAAAGGAGCGAUAAUGUUCUCAUAUAAAAAUAUUGCUACGAUAUUGGCAUUAUCAAUUUUUGUUGCCAUGGCCUCCGCCCAUUUGGUGACAUAAUCGGUGGCUACUAGAAUAUAACAUUUAUAUCCAUUUUAAGAGGCAGGUGCAAUGGAUCCAACAAAAUCAAUUCCCCAUUUCUCAAAUGGUGCCUGUACCAAGAUUGGUACUAACGGCAUCAAUGAAGUACCCAUGGGUCGACCAAUUCAUUGACAGGGAUCACAACAAUGAACAAAUUGAUGCGCAUCAGAAAACAUUGUGGGCCACCAAAUAACCAGCCAUUAAAGCCUUGCGAGUAGUACUGUCUCUCGCAAAAUGUCUACCACAACUAUCCAAAUGACAUCCUUCCAAAAUUGUAUGAACUUCACUUUGAAAGAUGCAACGGUGUAAAAUUCCAUCCCGCCCUUGUUUGUACAAGGCAUCUCCAAUCAUGGUAUAUGGCGCACUUUUUAAAAUCAGACGUUUCUUUAAUUUUUCAUUAUAAGAAAUGAGAAAAGUCUGAAACGUUAGAUAUUAGAUCAAUUCACCAUAUUCAGAUGUAAUAGUUGUGCAUCCAAAAGAGCAUCGUUUAUGAGCUCAUUACCCGGUAUAUUAGAUAAACGGGAUAAGUGAUCUGCAUUGGCAUUUUUCUUGCUGAGUCAAACGUUAAUCAUAAAGUUGAAUUCCUGGAGAAGUAACAUCCAUCAAGUAAUUCGUCUGCUCAAUUGAGGUUUAUUUAUCAGGUAUUUAAGUGCAUCAUGAUCAACGUGGAACACAAAUGAGUAUCCAAGUAGAUAGUCAUGGAAUUUCUGUACAAAGUAGAUCAUUCUGAGGGCCUCUUGCUUGGUAGUAUUAUAAUUUUGUUCUGCAGCAACAAAUUAUCGACUCGCAUAAUAUAUGGGAUGUUCUAAUCUUUUUUCAUCCCUUUGACUAAGAACAAAUCCAAUAGCAAUAUUGGAUGUAUCCACAUAGACAUGAAAUGGUUUUGUCCAACAAAGUAUUACAAGAAUUGGGACAGAUACCAAUUUCCAUUUCAAUUCGUCGAAUGCAAAAAUACGGUCUUCAGUCCAUAUUGGAUUAGAUCCCUCUGAUGGGGGUUUUUUAAACAAGUGGAUUAACGAUUGAUAGAUAAUCACAAAGGAUUCAAUAAAACGUCGAUAGUAGCUGACAUGGCCGAUGAAACCGCGCACGGCCGACACUGCAUUUGGCUUUGGUAAUCUCAAUAUACGAGUAAUUUUAUCGAGGUCCAUAGCGAUAUCUUCAACAGAGACAAUGUGUUCCAAUAGCUUUCUCGAUGGUACGCCAAAUUGAUAAUUCUCUAAAUUUAGAAAUAUCCCAUACUUGUCGCAUUGAUUCAAACAAUUAUCUAAGCAUGCUAGAUGUUCAACUGUUGUGCCAAAAGUGCAGAAAUCAUCCAAAAAUAUCUCCAUUGAUAAACGUAGGUAAUCUUGAAACGCUUGUGUCAUUAUCCAUUGAAAAGUAGCUGGGGCAUUAUAUAACCCAAAUGGCAUUACUUUAUUGGUGAAUGUACCCCAAUCUGUGGUAAACGUAGUCUUCAACUGGUCUUCUUCGACAAUUUUAAUUUGAUUAUAUCCCAAAAAUCCGUCCAAAAAUGAGUAACAUUCAUGUCCAACCACUGCGUCCAAAAUACUAUCUAUAAAUAGUAACGAAAAAUAGUCCUUCUUAGUAGUCGCAUUUAACUUUCAAAAAACUUGACAUAUCCUAAUUUUUCCAUUCUUCUUUGGUACCAUCACGAUUGGCGACAUCCAUACACUAUGCAGAACAGGAUAAAUAAAAUCCAUGUCGAGAAGUUUAUCCAAUUCUUCUUUCACUAAAAGAGAAUAUUUUGACUUAAGCCGAUGUUGUCUUUGACGAACUGGCAUAACACCCUCCUCUAUAAUAAUCUGGUGGUCAAAGACGUCAGCUGGAAUGCCUUUCAAAUCCGCAUACCACCACGCAAAGGCAAAUUUGUGAUGGACAAAAAAGUAUUUCCAAGCAUCCAAUUCUGUACCGAUAAUACCGACAUAUAUUUUAAUUAGCUGUGGCAUUUCGUUGAUACCCAAGUUAAUAGAUUGACACACAAGGUCUUCAACAACCUCUAAUUUAAUUGUCUUCCCCUAAUCUGAAUAUCUUAUAUUAUCCGACAUAUGGGAACCAUCCAAAUCUGGUUCCAAUGUGCUGAUUCUAUUAACUGCGGAAUUGUUCAUUCAUUCGGCAAUAGCAUGAUCCAAGUUAGUUGCAUCCUCCUGAUGCAAUAAAUAUUCGCUAGGACUUUCACAUUGGUAGACUCCUGCCUUUGCUGUUGAAGUGUUUUGUCCUACCCCAAAUUGCGGUGAACCUAUAGCAUCAUCAUCUGCCUUAAUCGAUUGACUCUCGUUGUCCGAUGUAAAUUUUGAUUCUGGCAAUUGAGAUUUUCCAUGAUAUUGUACUGGGUACAUCUGUAGAACAAUCUGGUCACGGCUUUUUUCAAUUGUCAAUGUGCCUUGACUUCAAUCGUUCUUAGCUUUGGCUUGAUAAAACCAAGAUCUAUCCAAUAAAAUGGAAUAUGAUAAUGUAGAACUCUGUAAUCGAAAUACAAUAUAAUCGAUUUUUUAUGUCAAUCUCGCGAUUACAGUGGCAAUAUUGCAUAAGAUUUCUAUUGGCUUUCUAUGACUAUGAUUUACCAUUCGCAAGACCAAUGUCAUAGGUAGCAAUUGCUUUAGAUCCAAGUCCUCUAUUGUAUCCGCGUUCAUUAAAUUUACACUGGAGCCACCAUCGACUUGUAUCCCUGGAAUUAAAAUGCCAUCGAUUGAUACAUCGAUUGUUGGUGCUCCCAGAUCUCGGUUUAAGCUAACUUCCUAAAUUUUUUUAGUGUGGGAUCUUCAUCAUAUUAACGCUAAAUUCAAUGUAGAUCGACAUUUUGAUGCUAUAGCCAAAAGUUACUUCAUUGUAAUUGAAGGCUAAAUAACAUCCAAAUCCUUCAAAAUAUCGUAGGAUUCCAUAUUGAGAGUAAUUUCCAAUGCUCUUUUGCGUUUCAUUGGUUUCGAUUUUAUUCCAUUCGACAGUAAUUCCUUCCUGGCGAUUGAGAUUACCAUUGGUGACUUUGCCAACUUUUCUACAACUAAAGAUUACUUUAAUGCGUAAGAUCUUUUAUUGAGUUGUAUAGGUAUUAGUACUUGGUCAAUUGGGAUCGAUCUCUAUGGUCUCGACAAAUUGGCACAUGGGACCGAAUUAGGUUCCUUAGUCUGUUGAGGUCUCAAUAUUGGGAUAUGUCUCAAUACUGAUAUUGGUUCGUUUAGCCCCAUGGAUGGUGCUACUAGCUCUCCUGCGAUUAGUUCAUCUAGGUCCUGAAUUGGAUUCUUAUCUUUUUGUUGGCCUCUGAUAAGUACUGCGUUCACCACCUUGACAAAAUGUACUGGUGAGUCUCGUUGAACAGAGCCUUUGUCUUCCACCGGCUGGCUUAUUUACAUUUGCUGGUCCCGAUUAUUAUAAUUAAAGGGCGCAUUGCACUGCUGAUAAGUGUAAUCAGACUACUUACAAUUUCCACAUAUUAGAGCAUAGUCAUCACUAGCCCUUGGAUUAGGACAUUCACUCGCAUAAUGUCCGAUUUGUCUGCAAUGAUAGCAACGAAGUGAUUUCUUACCAACUCCUUCAGGGAUAUUGGGUGUCUCUAUUGGUAUAUAAUGACUAGGUCUGUUUCAUGUCGGAUGAGUAAAGGAUCUUGAUUGAUCCAUUGUAACUAUAGAGUCUGGCAUUGGCUUCGUCAUAGGUGGAUAUUGAUGGUAUCCUAGUUGGUUCAUCGCCAAUCCGUGAGUAUUGGAUAUACUUUCUUGGUGAAAUUCAGAGUUUAGGAAAUUAGAAUAAUUCCUAUUUUGUUUAUUCGCUCGAUUUCCAUUCCAGCCAAACCUAUUAUUCGUUUGUACUUGAUUGACAUUCCAUUGGGUUGGUUGAGUCAUUAUCUAGUUACUGAGUUAUUAUUGCUUCCAUAAAUUCCAACAAUUGGUGGUAAUAUGCUUGCCCCCAUAAAAAGUAUAUUGUACAGUCAUUUGGGGAGAUGAAGGACAUUCUGUUACUAAAUAAUUUUGCCCCUUACAAUUGCUGCACCAGACAUUGGGAUGCAUAUUGGUUGUUUUAUGCCUCUUCUCCUUAUCUUUGACCACAUUGAUAGCCAUUUCCUCCAUUUUUUUUGUCAAAUUCAAUAACAAGGUUUCAUUGGAAUCUUUUAGGACUAGAAUUAUUGAUAUCUCUGUUGUAGUUAACACUUAUUGUUGAUACGGUGUUGGGGUAGAGAGGUUUUGCCUCAAGAAAGCACUGGGCUUCAGGUUGUCAUUAAUUACUCAAUCGAGCUUAAAAUAAGGAAACCCUAAUUUUAUAUAUAUAAGUUCUCCUUUUGGGACAAUUACACCAAAUACUUAAGUAUUAAAUAACCAACAACAUCCAAAAUAUGGUAGAAAUACACUAAAACCUUGUAUAUCCUUGUGUGGAAAUUCUCCCGAAUCUCAACAACCCAUAACUCUUGAUCCAACCGUCCAAACAAGAUCAAAAUUUACAGAAAGUACUGAUAUGUUGUUAUUAAUUUGUACAACAAAUUUCAACUGCAAAUUCGUUGCGGAUCUUGAGAUAUCUUCAAAAUCCUAACAGUCGCUUCAAAUCCUAAUCUUUGUAUACCCGUGCGCAAUUUUCUUCAUAUCUCACAAACCAUAAGUCCAAAUGCCACGAAACUUAUAUAGAUAGCUUUUUAACACAAAUUUUUACAUUCUCUCAAAGUUUGAGCCAAAAUUCGUUCGAAAACUCAAGUUAUGGCUCCUAACACUACUUUGAACAAAACCGCUCACUUACUGCCUUUGAUUUGAAUGCGCUGUCUUUAACUCCUUAUAACUCCUUCACAUAAACUCCAAAUGCAAAAUCUCCUUCACAAAAGAUGUAUGUCUUGAAGUUGCCCUUCCAGCUGCCUCUUCCGAUCUCCAAAAGCUUCCCUAAGACUCCUCUUAAACUCAAAAGAGUAACAGUAGGUCUCAAAUUGACACCUUAACUUCAAACGGCUAUAACUUAUUCAUCCUAACUCCAAACCCUAUAAAAUUUGCACAAAAAUUGUAGCCAAAAUCCUAAAAUUUACAAUCCUUGCCUCUGAUUUCCUAAUGGCUUCUUUGAAGUCGUCGAAACCCUUAUCAAGGUCGCAGGCAGCCUCCUGAAAGCCCAUUGGGCAUGGAUUUCGACCAAUGGGGAUGAAGAUCCUUAUUUCUACCUUCAUCCAACCAUGCCUUGGUUUCAUCCCUCCCAAUUAACCUCCUAUUAGUUUAAAUCUUCAUCUUUAGGCCCCUCUCUCCUCUCAAGGCUUCAUACUUAACAUUAAGGUUCUAUAACUUUUAUAUACUAUAAUCUAACUAAGUAAGGAAAACAAAAUAAAGUUUUUUUUUUUUUUUACCAACUCUUUUUAAUUUAAUAUAUUUAUCACUUUAACAAAAAUUUAGAUUUAUUAAUAUAUAAUAUAUUUUAACUAAUUUUUAUAUAUUGUAAGCAUUUACAAUAAGACAACGGAUAAUAUGGAGCAUACGCUGUUGUCACGUUCGAUGGUAUAGCUUGCAAUGGGAUGACAUUAACUAGCCCCUGAAUAUUGGUAUUGGAAUUGGUCUCUGUUUCUAACAUCCAUGGAUAACUAUACACUGAUUUAUUCCAAGUCGGAUUUUGAUAUCUACCUUGAAUUGGAAUCAUCAUGGCUCCCACAGUUAAAAACUGAUCAUAAUGGCAUUCCUUCCAAACCUUGGCUCUAUUAAGGGACGCAGCCACUGUAACGAUUUGAGCUUCCUUUACAAAAAAAUUUAGCUCUGGUGAGUGUAAACCAUUGAUUAAUAUGGAUAAGAUAAAUGCCUCCGAUAUUUGGUUAUUCAGCCACUUACUGAAUAUAUCAGCUACUCGGCCAUAAUACGAUUCCACUGCCUCCCCUAGGAUCAUUUUGCUAUUCAUUAACCUCUCUCGAAGGCAGUCUUCAAAACCAAUCAACCGAAAAUGAGAUAAAAACGCAUUCAUCAAUGCUUCCCAAUUCAGAAAUUGACCCACUUGUUGAUAAUUUUAUCAUUCAAAUGCCAUCUUUUAAGGUUGUUAGUAGCCAUCGCAACCAAAUAUCUUCAGUUCUGCCAUUAUUAGCUAUACAUGCUGUAAGAAACUGAGACAAAUGUUGAUCAUGAUCCACACCCAAAAAUCUCCAAAAAGUACAUAGUAGCGCGACACUAGUCGUUCGACCACCCACUGCACCCAUUUGUACUACAAUCGGAAUACCUGGGCCUCAUGACGCCAUUGAAUUUCUUGUUCCGCUAAACUCCAUUUUAAAAUAAUCUCUGCUUUCUCUUAUUCUAAUUUCCGAGCUCUCAAUGCUCCUCGAUUUACUAUUAUUUUUUGCAAUUAGUUUUAUUGGUUGAAUUGCAGGUGAAAAUGUCAUAUUUUGAAAUACAAUAUAGUUAUCUUUAUUGGCAACCAAUUUGUGUCAAUCUGAAGAGCCACUAUUGCUCGUUUCAGCGGUACCUCCUACUGAAAAAAUACCCAAUGGAGUACCAAAUUCUUCUAUGCCUCCUUCUCUUUCAGUUAACGGCCUCAAGAUUUCCACUUGAAUGUUAACAAAAAAUUUUGCGAGUAUUUUUGGCAGUUUUUCUAACGGUACAUACGAUUGCAAAAUUAACAGUUUGUCCAGUUUUUGAUAUGUUCAGAUGCGUCGACAAGCUUGCAACCAUGGUUUAAUCCAAUUCUAUCAAUGCUACUUUUUAAGAUUACAUUCUUGCUCUUCUCUAAGCAAAUUCCUUCCUUGUGCUCUUCCCUGUCUUUCUUUCAAUUGAUUUAUUUUCUUCGAUGCAAUGCUCUCGUUCUUAUUAACCAUAAUCUUGCUUCAAACACUAUUGAAAUCGACUUCCAUUGCCAAUUUUCUCACACGUUUGAUAAUUAAUUCCUAACAUUCAAAGCUAUUAUCACUCCCCGACAACGGUGCCAAAAUGUGGUUGUCAUUUUACUUAUUCUGGAAGAAACCUCCCAAAAUAAACUCAUAUAGGGGAAUUCAAACACAGGAAAAGACCAUGUAUAUGAGCUCCAAUUGUUAGGGUCACGUAAUUAACUGCUACUGCUAAAUGCUUAUCAUAUCGAAGAACACUUAAUUUUUUUUCUUACUAUCCACUCUCUCAUAUCAAUAUAAUAACAUCCACGACAAUGAUUUCAGUACCCUAUGUAAUUCACAAACACACAAGCAUAUCCCAAACCCUGGAACAAACAACUUCCAAUCCACAGAAUCUGAUCAAGACAAUUCCUUCGAUUACAAUUCCUCUCCACUAAAUUUACAACCUUACGAUAAAUAGUGACUGGAAACUUUCGUACGUCCUCAAUCUUUGACAACAAUCGAUAAACAGUGAUCCAUAAAUAACUUUGUAAAUCAAACAUUAAUUUAUUAAAUCAAUUCUCUUCACUAGAAUCAAUACUAACAUAAAAAAAAAUAAGAAAACUAAGAAGAAGAGAUAGCACUAAGCUUAUCCCUGGCUUAGUACUAUCAUAGUCUGGCCCUCGGCUCAUGACUAUCACAGUCUGGCAUUUUCUUCCCCUCUCCCAUCCUCUUUAUACUACCCCGAGAUAACAACUCAUAUACUACAGAUGAUAACUACUUUUCCUGACUAUUCAUCCAUUCUACUUAUUGAAUCACCUUUUCAAUAGUUAUCUAUCUCUCUUUACACUAUACACUACGUAUCUAUAUUUUGAAAAUAACUACUUAUUCUAAAAAUACCAUGUAACUUUAAAAAAUCAUUGAAUUGCUUUGAUAUAUACUCACCUCCAUUGUCUGUACACACUACCUUGAUUUUGCAUUCACAUUGCUUCUCCACAAGUGCCUUAAACUCCUUUAACCUUAAGAAAUACUAACUCGUUGCCUUGAGGAUGAAAAUCCAUACUUUUCUUGAAAAUUCAUCAAUGAAUGUGACAAAAUACCUUGCACCUCCUAUUGAUGGCAUCCUCAUAGGUCCACAAAUAUCAAAAUGGACAAUCUCCAAUAACUUGGUUAUACGUGUUGCAACUCCACUUGGAAAUGAGGCCCUUUGUUGUUUGCCUUGAAUACAACCUUCAUAAGUAAGUGUCAUAGCAUUGUGGCUUAUAUGACCAAGAUCUAAGCUACUUACCAUGGAUUGGAGCUCCUUCAUGCUCUUGGCAUUCAAAUCACUUAGGCAUUGAUGCCAAAUGCCAAACUUGUCUUAAUCUUGAGGAAAUUCAGCAAAUAUCGCCACUUCAACUCCAUUCACCUUCUUACACUUGAUGAAGUAGAGGUUGCCAUAUCUAAAGCCCUUUGCAAUAUGAUCUCCUUUUAAUGUCUUCAAAAAAUACCCAUUCUUAUCAAAUUACACUUUACAACUAUAUGAAACAAGUUUACUCACCGAGAGGAGGUUUUUCUUCAUCUUUGGCACAUGUAAGACGUCCUUCAAUCUGAUCCUCUUGAUUUGGCCUUUUACAACAAUCUCUAUAACAAUGGAAACAAUCCAAUAGCUUGUACUAUGCCAUUGUCUCCCAUGACGAUAUUUUUUGUUGAAAUCUCUUCAUAAGUAUCAAAUAAAUACUUUUAUGGAGUCAUGUGCUUGGUGGCACUAGAAUCAAUGAUCCACUUGGAUAUGGCAGCCAUGGAAGUGCCUUCACUUGCCAUGAAUGCAUAAUCAUCACCUCUAUAUUCAUCACGAGCAUUGUUUCUACUUUCUCUAUCUCUUUUCUUAGCCUUGUAGCAAUUUCGAGUAAAGUGACCUGGUUUUCUACAAAUGAAGCAAGUUCUCAUAUUUCCACAUUGGUUGGAAUGACUCUCCUUGCUUUGUCUUGAAAAGAGAGCCGAAUCAUCACUUUGGAGCUCUUUUUUUUUUCUCUUCGUCACUUCAUGGGCAAUUCUCACCGUCACAUAAUCUAUUGUGAGUUCUUUUAUUUUAAUGGAUUCCAAUGCCACAAUGAGGUAGUUGUAGGACUCAGGAAGGCUCAUAAGCAAGGUCAUGACAAUAUCACUCUCUUCUAAAGGCUUGUCAGCAAUAGUAAGUUGAUUAACAAUGGCUUUUACCUUGUUGACAUGAGCCAUGAGGUCUUCACAUUCUUCCAUCUUGCAAGUAAAGAAUUUCUUCCUUGUGAAGAUGAUAUUGGAUAAGUUCUUGCUCUCAUAUAUAUUACAAAGAGUCUUCCAUGCUUUUGUUGGUUCUUUACAAGAAAUGAUGUGAGAAAAAUUGGCUUCAUCCAAAUUAGUGGCAAUCAUGCCAAAAGCCUUCUUUUCACAUCUUGUGAAGUCCUUCCUCUCUUUAGCAUUAGCAUGCAUGCUUGGAGGCUCUUCACUUUCAUCUACAAUGUCCCAAAGGUCCAAAGGUGCCAACAAAAGCUCCAUUUUGACCUUCUAAUGGUAGAAAUUGUCACCUCUAAACUUCUCAAUCACUCUCAAACCUUCACCCUCACUUGAAGCUAUGUCUUAGAAGAGAUCUAUCAAAAAAAUAUCAAAAAAAAGAGACUUUAUGUGUUUAAAAUCACUAAAAUAAUUUUAUACUAGCAAAAUCUCAGAAUGCCUUCAUGUGAACAAAUGAAUGUUUCUUUACUCCAAACACUCCCAAAUCAACUUUUGAAGCUUUAAAUAAGUAUGUGAACUCCAAUCAACUUCACUAUCUAGUUCUUUCACUCAUAAAACUCACUUUCUCACCACAAAAUCAAAGACAAUAUCAAGGUCUUUGUAUAAGAUCUUAAUCACUCAAUCCUAGUAGUUAAGAACCUUCAAACUGAUGUAAGAGAUUUAUAAGGCCCAAAUCAGAACCUCUACAAGUCAAAACACUAGAUUAGAUCAUAGAAUCUCUAACAUCAGCAAACACCAUAAGAUCUAUUCCACACAAGAACAACAAACAACAAAUGACUUCAACUUACUUGAAUAGUACAACAAAGUGUGUAAGGGCCCACAACCUAUUGAAGAAACACAAUAAGCAAGACACAAGUAAGUAGAAAUCAACAAGGUUAGACACAAGAAAAGUGUGGAAUGAGAUACCUCUCACUUCCAACAUCCUUUACUUAUAGGUAGAGGUUACAUCCAUUUUGGCUAGUAUUCAACUUACUUUCAUCCAACUAAAUCCUAAAUUCCUCUUAAUCUAGCCACCACUUUAAAUCCUAAAUUCUUCUUAAUCUAGCCACCACAUAAAAUCCUAGCCGCCACUUAAAAUCCUAGCUGCCACUUUAGUAACUUUUUUUCAUCCUUUUGCUGCCCUUUGACCAUUAGCAAAUUAUCUAAGAUAAUAUCUUUUAUCUUCUAACUUAUCCUUCAUUUACUUUAAUAAGUAUGUCCAUAGCUUCAAAGACUUUUUUCCAAUCAGUAGUGAGUCCGUUGUCCUCUUUAUUAUCCUCUAAUAGUAAUUCCAACUCUCUUUGUAAAUCAUUGCUAGCUGAUUGAAGAAAUAACUUCACCUUAUCAUUUUCAAGUAUAAGCUUUUUCACUCGAGACAAUUGAAGAAAGUAUCUUUCAAAUUCUCAAAAUAACUCUUUUGCAAUCAACUCUUUAUUGGAUUUAUUGAUCCAUUCCAUAAACGAUUUUCUUGUCAUCCUUUUUGUAUCUUUUGAAGAAUAUUUUUCUUUUAAUUGAAGGACAAAAUCCUCCCAUUUUUCUCCAUGAAUAUAAAUAAUCUUCCUUAUAUAUUCAUGAAGCUCUGGUACAACUAUAAGCUCAAAUAUUAGGAUCAUAUCUUUCUCUGGUACUUUAUUGAGCUCCAUCUCCCGAGAAUAAUACUUAAGAUACUUCAAAAUAUUUCUUCCAUCAAAUUGAUCCAAUAAACCAACAAUAGAUUGCAAGGCUUUAGUAGCCAUUGCUUCCUUGCGCAAAUGCUUGAAAUAUUUAAAUUGUAGCAAGAUCAAGUUGCAAUGGAGAUACCUCAAUGCAAUCCCUACUACCACUUCCUUGUCCUCCUUUCAUAUUAGAAAGCCAAAAAUAUUUCUUCAAAACUCUCUAUCCCAGAAGUUUUCACGUCCAGUUCACUAGUUCUGUUGUAUGGAGUGAUUUGCUAUCUGGAAAUACACUGAGUAUCUAGUUAUAGAGAGUUUAGCUUAAAUCUUUAUAUGAAUCUUGUCUUAGCUUCUAAAACUCCUUUGAUUUGCAUAAAACUCAAAAUAUAACAAAAUCCCUUCAAAACAUAUUUUUCUCGUAAAAGAUUUUCUUGUUCCAAACUUUAGAAAUUCAUAACUCUUGAUCUAGCUAUUCAAUUUGUGUACAAUUUAUAAGGUAGGUAGAAAUCACUCUUAACUAUUACUACAAAAAAAUCAACAAUAAAUUCACUCUCAAUCUUCUGGCAUGUAAGAAACCCUAGCAGACAUUCUAUAUCCUAAUUUAUAAGUACAUGAGUACUAUUUUCUUAAUAUCUCAAGACUCCAAUACUCAAAUAUCAUCAAACUUACGUAAAACGUUUACAUACAUGAAAUUAUAUAUUUUCUAAAAUUUUGAGCUAAAAUCUUAUCAAAUUACUCAAGAUAUAGCUCAAGACACAACCACUAGUAAAUCGGGUCACUUACUACCCUUAGAUUGUAUGUGCUGACUUCAAAAUCCAAUAACUCCUUCAUCCCUGUUUAGAAUCUAGUAAGCAGUAAGUAAAAAAUAUACCUGUAAAAGUGCUCUCUCUAGUCACAAUUGCUGAUCCUCAAUUACUGUCUAUACGCAUGCAUUAUGUCAAAAAAAGUGACAAUAGCUCCCAAAUCAACAUCUUAACUUUGAGAGCUUGUAUCUCCUUCAUAUAAAUUCCAAACCAUACAAAAUUUGUACCAAAAUCAUAGCCAAAAACCUAAACUUGCUGACCUUAUCUUUUAAAGCUCAAAUGGCUCCGAGAAACUAAUCCUAAUUCCUAAUAUGGCCUCAGGCAGCCUCCUCAAAGCCCAUUGGUAAUGAUUUUGGACCAAUAGGAAUGGAGAUUUUCAUCAUCUAUAUCCAUUCAAUUAUAUUAGUGCCCUAAUUAUUCCCUUUAUAACCAAAAUCCUUCUUCAAUCUUUUUUCUUAUAAGAUUUACAUAAUUUAUGCUCUAAAAACAAAAUAAAAGAAUCAAAAUAAGUUUCUAAAGGUCACCAAUGUCUAACAAAGGUGACUCUAAAUAUUUAGAAGUUACUAUCAACCAAAACCAAUCUUAAAAGCCACUAUCAAAAGGAAAUUAAAGUUAUACAAAUUUUAUAGUAAUCUUUUAAAACAACCUCUUUUUAAGGUAAUAAUAAAAUUAUAUUCUACAACCAACCAAAAUCUAUUAACAUGGCUCUCAUCAUAUUACUUAAUAAAUUAUAUAUUAAGUACAUAAUUAUAUUAUUUUCAUAUAGUAGCCAAACCACAACACGACAUUGUAGAGAUUUAAUAGCUGGUUAUUGGUGGCCAACAAUAUUUUUGGAUGUGCACCAAUAUAUUUGAUGUUGUAAUCCUUGUCAACAAAUUGGUUGACUUAUAAGAACUUCUUCCAUGCUGUUGGUACCAAUUUUGGCACAAGUACUAUUUGAAAAAUGAGAUAUUGAUUUUGUAGGACCAAUCGCUCUAGCCUCACAUAAUGGUCAAAAAAGAUCUUUUUUGGUAGCAACCAAUUAUAUAACAAAAUAUGCUCAGGCGGUGGCAACAAAAACUAAUAAAGCCAAUACAAUAGCUUUAUUUUUAUAUGAGAAUAUUAUCUCUUAGUUUGAGUGUCCUAAAGAAUUAAUUAGUGAUUAAAGAACUCAUUUUAUCAAUUCUAUGAUUGUAGCCUUGACAGAUAAAUAUGAGAUCAAACAUCACAAAAUAAUUCCAUAUCAUCCUCGUACCAAUGGGCAAACUAAAAAGACUAAUGGUAUUCUGUACAAAAUUUUAACCAAAAUAAUGUUUGGUGUGAAAACAGAUUGUAAUACUAAGUUGUUUAUUGCAUUGUAGGUAUAUCGUACUGCAUAUAAAGUGACUACCAAUUCGACACUAUUCUAAUUGGUGUAUGGGCAAGAAACAAUAGUAUCAAUUGAAUUGGAAGUACAAAGUUUAAGAAUUACAUUGGACGAACAUCUGAGCAACAAGAAAUCCUUCCAAUUUUGAUUUGCAAAAUUUAAAAAAUUAGAUGAAGUUAGGGCUAUGGCUCUCUUGACUAUGGAAGCUAUACAUCAUUGAUGUAAAAGUUAUUAUGAUAGUAAAUUAUGUUCCUAAGCAUUUCUGUCCAAUGAUCUAAUGCUUCUUUAUAAUAGCUAAUUUAACAAUUUCCUAGAGAAAUUUCAAGUCCGUUGGCAUCGACCGUUGUCGUGUGGCGUGAUUUUCAAUCUAGGAAUAUACUAGGUAUCUAGCUAUAGAAAGUUUAGGUUUCUUUUUUAUAUAAUUCCUUAGCUCCCAUAAACAAACUCCUUGCUUUGUAUAAAAAUUCAAAAUAUCUUAAAAUUCUUCAAAAUAUAUUUCUUCCCGCCAAGGACCUUUUUACAUCAGACUUUGAAAAUUCACAAAAGCUAAUCCAACCGUUCACUUUGUUUCAAAUUUCUACAUAAGCUAGAUGCUAUACUUAACUUUUACCACAAAAAAAUUGAACCGUACAUCUAUCACCGAUCGUUCGGCAUCUAAGAAACCCUAGCAGGUGCACAAAACCCUAACUUACAAGCACCCGAAAACUAUUUUCCUUAUAUCUCUUAAACCCAAGCUCCAAAUCACACAAAACUUGUAUAGAAAGCUUUAUAACAAGAUUACACUCAAUCUUGGAAAUUUUGAGCUAAAACCUCAUCAAAUUGUCUAAGAUAUAGCUCAAAUCACAAGCACAAGUAAUUCGGGCUACUUACUACCCUUAGAUAUCAAGCGCCGACUUCAACUGCCAAUAUCUCCUUCAUAAAAGCUUGGAAUUCGAUAAACAGUAUGCACAAACUGUAGCCGAAAAAGUAUUCUCUUCAAAUCCGGUCGUCGAUCCUCGUUUGCCGUCCGUACGCGUGCGGUAUGCUCAAAAGAGUGACAGUACGUCGAAAACUUACACCUUAACUUUGAGCGCCUAUAACUUCUUCAUAUAAACCCCAAAUGACACAAAUUUUGCACCAAAACCAUAUCCAAAAACCUAAAUCUUCUGACCCUAGCCUCAAAAACUCGAAUGGCCUCGAGAAACUAACCCUAAUCCCUAAUAUGGCCUCGGGCAGCCUCCUCAAAGCCCAUUGGUCAUGAUUUUUGACCAAUAGGAAUAGAGAUUUUUAUUUUUCAUCUCCAUUCAUCUAUAUUGGUGCCCUAAUUUCUCCCUUUGCUACCAAAAUCCUUCUUCAAUCCUUUUUCUUAUAAGAUUUAUAUAAUGGAUGCUCUAAACACUAAAUAAAAGAACCAAAAUAAAUUUUUAAAUAUCACCAAUGCCUAACAAAGGUGACUCUAAAUAUUUAGAAGUUACUAUCAACCAAAACCAAUCUUAAAAACCACUAUCAAAAAGAAAUUAAAGUUAUACAAAUUCUAUAGUAAUCUUUUUAAACAACCUCUUUUCAAAGUAAUAAUCAAAUUAUAUUCUACAACCAACUAAAAUCUACUAACAUGGCUUUCACCAUGUUACUUAAUAAAUUAUAUAUUAAAUACAUAUUUACAUUAUUUUCAUAUAAUAGCCGAACCACAACAUGACACCGUAUCAUAUAAAAGAAGGUUUUCUUAAUGAUUCAAUUCUAUUGGAAGAUUUUAUGGAUAUCCAAUUUACCACAUGUAUCAAUGGAAAUCAAUUACGACUUUAUUAUACAUUAAACCAGGACAGAUUUUAAAAAUUGAAAAAAAAAAAAAAAAAAAAAAAAAAAAAACUUAUUUGUUCAUGAAAGAUUGUCUUUAAUCAUAGGUGUAUGAUAGAUAGUAAAGAUGGUUACUUGUGGAUCCUAAUACCGACUAAUAAAGAAAAUCAAAAGUAGGAUUAUGGUAAAUAAGAUCAAAGAUUCUUGAUCCAUACCUUGAAUAAAAGGUUAGGAGUAGAGUACACAAUAGUAGUUAUCUUCAAUAUUUUGUACAUUGUAGUUUGGAGCAUUGUCGAGAUAGAGAGAAUUUGCUUCAAGAAAGCAUUAGGCUUUUAGUUGCCACUAAAUGCUCAAUGAAGUCUAAGAUAUAAAAGUACCAAGUUUAUAUAUAUAAUAUUUUUUCUUUUAGGACAAUUACAUCAAUACAUAAGCCAUGUACCAAAAAAACAUCCAAAUGUAUGAUAAAGUAUCUUAAAACCUUAUAUAUUCUUAUGAGAGAUGUUUAUUAAACUUCAAUAGCUGAUAUGUCUCAUGAUAUCUCACGAUCGGACUGUCCAAUUAACUCUAAAUUUUAUAUGAAGUACUGAUAUGCUUUCAAAAACUACUAAAAAAAAAUUCAACUACAAAUUUGUUACGGAUCUUCGGAUAUCACCAAAAUCCUAAUAAUAGCUUUAAUCCAUAGCUUAUAUAUAAUUACAUGCUAUUUUCUUUAUAUCUCAUAAAAUAAGUAGUCAAAUAUCAUGAAACUUUGAUCUAUACCUUAUUAAUCUAAUAAAUCACACUACAAAAAUUGAAAGCUAAAAAUUUGUCUAAAAAAUUCAAGAUAUAGCUCCAACCAUUACCAUCAAUAAAAUGACUUACUUAUUGCCUUUGAAUUACAUGUACUAUCUUCAAUGCCUUAUAACUCUAUCAUCCAAACUUAGACUUUAUCAAAUAGUAUCUGUAAAGUAUAGCCAUGAAAGUGUUCUUUCCAACUCUAAUCGCCGAUCUUUCAUUGCUCUUUAUAUGCAUAUGUUAUGCUUCAAAGAGUGACAAUAGGUACAAAUUUGACACCUUAACUUUGAACACUAAUAUCUCCUUCAAAAAAACUCGAAAGCAUCCAAAAUCUUCACUCAAAUUAUAUCCAAAAUCCUGAACUUAUUGAAUUUAGCCCAAGUUCGAGUUACUUUGAAAGAAAAAUCCUAGUUCCUAAUAAGGCCACAAGUAGCCUCCUUGAAGCCCAUUGGACAUGGCCUUUGACUAAUAGGAACGAAGUUUUUCAUUCCUUGCCUUCAUCCAACCAUGCCUUGCUCUCAUUCCUCCCAAUAAGCAUCUUACUAGUUAAGAUUUUCUUCUUUAGGCUCUAAUCUCCUCUCAAGGCUUCAUAUUAAAUAUUUAGGUCUUAUAAUUUUUUUAAAUAUUAUAAUCAAAAUAGAUAAAACUCAAAUAAAUUUUUGUAUAUCCACUUUCUUUAAAUUAAUCUAUUAACUCUUUUAACAUAUAUAUAGAUUUAUUGAAAUAUAAUAUAUUUUAAGUAAUUUUUACAUACUAUAAGCUUUUAUAGUAUGACAGCAUACCAAUUUGGAAUGUAGGAUUUUUUUCAGAAAGAACUGAGUGUCAAUGUGAGUAAGGAGUGUGAUAAGCAAGUAUUCCAUAAUAUCCAUGAAAUGAGUGAAGAGAGCUAUAGACAAAGAUGAAAGUUGCUUUAAUGUGAGAGCUAAAGGCAGUUUGAAGUUACCAUCCUUAGUGAUUCUUACCAAUAUGGAAUCAAUGAGGUUGGAAUUCUAUUGGAAUACAAAAAGAUAGAGAGAUUUUUGAAAUGCAUAGUUAUAGCAGUUUCUAUAAUGGUCUGAUGAUUUGCCACCAAUUGAUGUAGAAUUGUUGGAAGAAUACAUAACCAAUUAUGACCCAAAGGAUGAUUCGAGUAUUGUCAAAGGGAGCAUUAUUGAGAUUGAUGAGAUUACCUUACAAAAAAUACUGUACCUUCCAAUUGGUAAACUUAGAGUAGAUGCUGAAGUAUUCAAUAAUUUUAGACUAGGAAGCUAUUUCAAAGAUGGCAUAUUAUCAUUCGAGAAGAAUCAAGGUUGGCAAAUGGUGGAGGUACUUAUCUCUAGGCUUAUAAAGUAAAUGCGUUUCAUUCAAAAGUGAUUAGGUUUAAAUUCACACCACAUACAUAUCCAAACAACUACUGUUUGCUAUGAUAGGAAUGCUAAAAGGUAUAGUAUUUAAUUGAGCAGCUUUUAUAGCAACUAAAAUCCAUGCAAAAAUGAAAGAUAAAUAGAAGAUAAGAAAAUUUACAUCUUUGCUUUCCUUCAAUUACGUAUAUUCUGUAAUUGCAUAUAUGUUGAGUCAAACAUUGCCAAUAAGGGUGAAUAAUAUGCCUUUUCUAGUACCUCAAUCAAAAUUUAAUGGCAUUGAUAACUAGUCUUGAGGUCGUGGUGGAUAAAAUUAGGAAAUCAAGUAACUUAUUGAGACACAAGGCUAUACUAGAGAUUCUACUAGAGCAAGUUUCAAUUUAUUUGAUGAUUAAGGUAGAGGCUGAAGUUCCAAUUUUGUUAGACAUCAACCACUUAGCAUUUCUAAAGGGUAGAACAUUAGAACAAGUGAAUCUCAAGGAUGUCAUAUUGGCUCAGAUUUCUCAAUUACAACUUACAAUGAAUAAACUAGAUAGGGAGGGAUAAUUAAGGUAGCAAUUAGAGGUGAACAGGAAAGAGUUAUUGGAACAAAGUUACCAAAUUAAGGAACAAGAUUGAAUUAUUUAAGAAAAUACAAAAUCCAAGUUGCAAUUAGAGCAUAAAUUGAGAAAAAAAUAAGAAGAUUGGAAAAAAAAAAAAUAACACAUUCAAUGUAUUAUGGAAGGUCAAAUACAAGACCUAAUACAAAUUUGCAAUACAUCAAUGUUGGAACAAGAAAAGGUGAUGUUUUAGUUAAAAAUAAAAUAAAAAAAGAUAGUAUUAUUAGAACAAGAAUAGCAGAUAUUAAAUGACCAAUAUAGAAUUGAAAUAAAAAAGUUAUGACCAAAAAUUGAAACCUUCAAGACUGUAGUGAAAAAAUUAGAGGUUGAUUUAGCUAGUAUUGAUUAGUCCUAAAUGUCUAUUCCACUCAUUUCCACAAUUGAUGAAUUAAAGGAAAAGGUUAGACAAUAGCAACACCAUUUGGAAGCAAAGAUGUUAGGAUUUUAUAAUUGGAGGCUCAAGUUCAUGAAUUAGAAUAGUAUCAUGAAGACUUAUCAGCCUAAUUGAGGAGAAAGCCAAUGGAAGUAUAGGAAGAAGAUGAUGACUUCUCAUUAGAAUUGGAAUCAAUGAAACAUUAUACAGAGAAUAUUGAGAUUGAUCAAUCUAGCAAACUAGAGAGUUAGAGACUUUAUAAAGGUUUCGUUGAAGGAAUUUUCUUUUACCAAAUCUAUGUUUGUAAGGAUGUUGUACAAUUAAGAGUGGAAUUAUGUGGAAUAUGUAGGAUUUUUUUGUUUUUUAAUACCUAAUAUAUAAGAUUAAAAAAAACUAAUAAACUAAUGAAUAGAUAGUUUAGCAAGCAGAAUGGAUGAUGUAGUCAAAAAAAUAGUUAUUAUCGGUUAAGUAGUAGUUGGUAUUUUUAAGAAAACAUAACUAGGUUGAAGAAGAAGUAAAAAGGGCGAAAUUGUCAUAGUCAUGAGUCAGGGUAAGCUUAAUGCUACCUCUUUGUUCUUUGUCUUCUUUGUAGAAUUAGAGUAAUGAAUAGUUUGUAAAUAUUAUGAAGUAAAAUUCUAGAAUAAAAAGAAGAUUUGAUAUAGAUGAUAUCAAAUGAGAAAUUGAAUUUAUUACAUGCUUAAUUAUAAGUGGAGGAUUGAAAAGUCGAUAAUAGAAGAUAUUUAUGAAGUAUGUAUAUAAUUGGAAGAAUUAUAAUACAUUGAAUAUUGAGAUUCAAGAAGAAGUAUGUCAAGUCUAGAAUUGUAUGAAACAGAUUAAUGGAAAUGAUAGUUAAUUUAGAGAAUUCCAAUGAUUGGAUUAUAGAAUAUUUUAUGUAGCCUUUUAAGAUAGUAUAAUAUAACCUAUAUUAUUAUAAUUUUGGAGAAGAGAAGAGACAAUGGAUAUGUAAGAUAGAAUUAUCGAUUGCAAUAUUUUCUUUGAUAGAAUUUGAAAGACAUAUAGCAUUCUUAGAUAGUUUAGUUAAUCAAGAGAUAAUUGAAUAUGUGAUUCUAAUGUGAAAAUUUAUGCAGAUAAUCUUUCUCCAUAUUUGAAUCUCUUAAUAAAAAUUUAUUCCAAUUAGAUUAAUCUAGAAUGAGUAAAAUGAUAAUCUCACAAAGAACGACCUCAAUUCCAUAUGGAGGAUAAGGUAUGGUUAUUUUGUCAUAAUAUUAAAACUAUUCAUCCUUAUAACAAGCUAAAUUAUUGUAGGCUUAGACCAUUGUUCAUUUGUGAAUAGAUCAAUCUAGUUACUUAUUGAUUAUAUCUAUAGGACUCUAUGAAAAUCCAUCAUGUAUUCCAUAUGUCUUUACUUGAGCCAUACAAGAAAAUAGAUAUACAAAGAAGGAUACAAAUUCCACCAUCUCCUAUAGAAGUGGACAAAAAUGAAGAAUUUGAGAUGGAAGAAGUCUUAGAUUCAAGGCGGCACUAAAAUAGGUUAGGAUAUAUAGUACAUUAGUACGGAUAUGAUAUUAAUGAAUGCACAUGGAAGCCAUCCAGGAAUCUAGUAAAUACAUCAGUCAAAGUUAAAGCUUUUCAUCAAUGACAUCCAUCAAAAUUAAGAUAAAGAGUUAAGAAAUUCUUUGCUAUAAAGCAAAACAAGCCCGAUGGAGAUUUUAUUCUAUCUUAUAUCAUUGUUUCUUUAGAUUUUUUAGUGUUUAGGAGAUGGAGAACCAACAACUAGCUGAUUCAACUCAAGAGCUAUCAUUUGUCGAACUAUCAGACAAGACAUUGCAAUUAUCACAACCUUUGAGAUGACAAAAUUAAAAUGAAGAUCCUCAAGAAUGGCAUGUUCUUCUUCAAAUAGGUGGAGAGAUACAAUGCAUUUAAUACCACAACCCUGGAAGAAACUUCCAAUAUUUAGUGAUACUUUUGGAGAUAGGAACCACUUUAGAUGGUAUUACUAAUGUUUUAUUUGAAGGAAGUUAUGAAGGCUUCAAUAAUAAUUAAAUAUGAGGGUGGUCUUAUUGCUAUGGUAUGAUACAUUAUCAAUGGUUGAAGGAACCUAUCAACUAACUUUAAAGGGAACAAAGAUUAGAGUAUGUUGUUGUAUUAUGGUUCAGCUACCAUGUAAAAAUAAUGUGAUUAUAUAUUUAUUAUAUAAUUUAUUUAACAACAUGGUGAAAGCUAUGUUAUUAGAUUUUAUUUGGUUAUAGAAUGUGAUCAAAUUACUACUUUAAAAAGAGGUUCUUUAAAAGGAUUACUAUUAAAAUUUGUAUAACUUUAUUUUCUUUUAAUAGUGGCUUUUGCGAUUGAUUUUAUUAGUAGUAAUUUUAAAUAUUUAGAAUCACCUUUAUUAGAUAGUAGUGACCCUUGAAGUCUUAUUUUGGUUCUUUAAUUUGGUAUUUAAGGCAUAUAUUGAGUAAAUCUUAUAAAAAAAAGAAUUAGAGAGAAAUUUUGGUAAUCAAAAGAGAGUUUAGGACAUCUAUAUAGAUGAAUGGAGAUGGAUGAUAAAAAUCUCUAUUCCUAUUAGUCAAACAUUAUGACCAAUGGGCUUCAAGGAGGCUACCUAAGGCCAUAUUAGAGAUUAGAGUUAGCUUUUUGGGGCCAUUUGAACUUUGAAGAUUAGAGUUAGAGAGUUCAAUAUUUUGACUAUGGUUUUGGUGAAAAUCUUGUAUGAUUUGGAGUUUAUAUGAAGAAGAUAUAGGUGCUCAAAGUUAAGGUAUUGAUUUGGAAACUAUUGUCACUCUUUUUAACAUAACGCAUGCAUAUGGUAUCAUAUUAUAAUACGACCACAUGGUAAAAGAUAAUAAUAUGGAUCUUAUUAUAGAAGAUCCAAGUUAAAAGAAAAAUUAAAAAAAUAUGGAUAAAAGAUAGGAAGGUAGUAAAACUUUUAGUAGUAAUGUUGUCCUUUUAAAAAAAAUAGCUUCUACUUACUUUAUAAGGCCAAAAAUAAGACAAAAUAAGGUAGAUUAGAAAAAUAAAUAAUAUGGAUAUCUUAAGAAGGAAGUUAAGAGUAAAUUCUAGCAAAAAUUACCUAGAAAAACUAGAUAUUGAUAUCCGGAGAGGGCCAGUUAUCAACCUAGGUUGAAAUCAGACUGUGAGGCAAAAAACCGAAUACCUAUGGCAAUUCGAGGGUUCUUUGGCAGAUCGGAGAGUGGGAUUUGAUAGAAAACUGAAUAUAGUUUCUAUAAGCAUUAGUUUUGGGCAAUUUGGAGUUGUUAUGACUUUGUAAGAGCUUUACAAAGUCAAGAUUGAUUUUAGAUGACUUGGAUUUUGUGAAAUAAAAUAGGAUUGAUGUUUUUAGUGAUUUUAAGAGUUUUGUAAUAGAUCUAUAGAUAAAAUUUUGUAGGUUAAUGGUUAUAGUUGUGAUUAAUAUGUGUUGUAAAUCUUAGCUCGAUCUAAUGAUUGAAUUGAGGAUUAUUGAGGUUUAAGUGAGUCAAGGUCUCAGAAAGUAGAAUUUUAGGUCUAGUGAGGAUUUUUAAGAUUUCUUGUAAUCUACUAAUUGGAUUGGAGUGAAAUUUUUGUGAGAGGAUAUUGACAUUUUUUUUCUAUGUGUAUGAGAAUUUUGAGAUCAAUCGAACGGUGAAAAAAAGAGAUAUUGGCUCUGGAAAAUUAGCAUCAAGAUUAGAGAAGGAGGCUGACUAAUAACCGAGCACGUUUUUGAGGUUAUCGUCUAUUUGGUAUUUUAAUCCUUUUCAAAAAAAUUGUGAUUAUUUUCAACUUAGUUUUUAAAAAGUUUAUAAAAUUUAUCUUAAGAUCAACAGUUCUUUUAUUAAUUAUUGAGGUUUAAAUCUAUUGUAGAAAUUACUAAGGUUUUGUUAGGAUUUGAUUUAGGAUUAGGAUUUGGUUUAGGAUUUGGUUUAGGAUUUAGGAUUUGGUUAGGAUUUGAUUUAGAAUUAGGAUUUGGUUAAGGAUUUAGGGUUUGAUUAGGAUUUGAUUUAUAAUUAAGAUUUAAUUAAGAUUUAGUUUAAAAUUUAGGAUUUGGUUAGGAUUUGAUUUAAGAUUCGGAUUUGAUUAGGAUUUGGUCUAGAAUUUAGGAUUUGGUUUAAAGUUGGUUAGGAUUUGGUUUAGGAUUUAGGAUUUGGUUAGGAUUUGAUUUAGGAUUAAGAUUUGAUUUAGAAUUUAGGAUUUGAUUAGGAUUUUAUUUAGGAUUUAGCAUUUGGUUUAGGAUUUAGGAUUUGGUUUAGGAAUUAAGAUUUGGUUAGGAUUUGAUUAGGAUUUGAUUAUGAUUUGAUUUAGCAUUUAGGAUUUUAUUUGAGUUUGUUUAGGAUUUAAGAUUUAGUUAGUUUUUGGCCAAAAGUUUGAAUGAAGUCCAAUAAGAUUUCAACUAGGAUUAAAUUAAGAUUGAAUUGAGAUGUAUUCGAGAUAUGUUUGUAAUUAUUCUAAAUUUUUUUAAAAUUUUCUUAUUGUUUCUUUAGAAUUCCUUUAGAAUUUCUCUAAAUUUGAUUAAAGCUUAUUUAGCAUUGUUAGUGUUCUAUCAGAAUUAGAAUUUUGUUGUUGCAAUUUCUAUUCUACUUUCCAUAGCCAAGUGCCCAAAGCAUUCUCAAGCAAGACUUCACGUAUUACGACAACAGAGAGAAAUUGAAGAUCAGCAAUCGCAACUAGAAAGAGUACUUUUAUGGCUACAUUUUUUGCAUAUUGCUUCUUGGAUUCCAAGGUGGAGUAAAAGAGAUAUUAGAUUUUGAAUUCAAUGCAUGCAAUCUAAGGGUAGUAAAUGACCCGAUUUACUAGUGGUUGUGUCUUGAGCUAUAUCUUGAGUAAUUUGAUAAGGUUUUAGCUCAAAAUUUCAAAGAAUGUAUAUAUUUAUGUUAUUAAACUUUGUACAAAAGUUUGAUGAUACUUUAUUAUUAGAUUCUUGAGAUAUUAAGAAAAUAGUAUUCAAGUGCUUGUAAAUUAGGAUUACUUAGAUGCCAAAAGAUUGGGAGUGAAUUUUUGGUUGGUUUUAUUUUAUAAAACUUAAGAAUAAAUUCUACCUAUUCUAUGUUUUGAAGGUAUUUUGCUAUAUUUUGAAUUUUAUGUAAAAUAAAAGAAUUUUGGAAGCUAAGGCAAGAUACAUAUAAAAGUUUAAAUUAAAUUCUCUAUAGCUAAAUAUCCAGUGUGUUCCCAUAUAGCAAAUCAUGUGAUAUGAUAAUGUGGCAAAUACAAUUUGGCGCAUCUUAGACUUCAUCUACAUGUAAUCACCGCUCUUCAUGGAAUUCAUCUCUAAAAAGAAGAAUAAUGUCAUAAACAUACAUAUUUAUCUUGAUAAUUAUUUAAAUAAUAAGAAUAGAUAGAAGUAAGUCAAAGUAGAUAAAUAUAAUAAUAUCUUAUAGAAAGCUUCCUAGAAGCUUCAUAGCCACUGCUUUGCCUUUAUACAUAUCUACAAGCAAUUGAUAGGUUAAAAAAUUAGCCAACAAAGAGGCCACAUGUCAAUAUAUUGACCACUUGUAGUACAAGUUGGAUAUAUGGUACACACCUAGGAAACUUGCCUUGCAAAUUAGACAUAUAUCCUACAAUUUGGACGUGUAUUAGAGGUCAUAUAGCAUAUCUCCAUAUAUUCCUUAAUUGAGUAGUAUAUAUAGAGGUAUGAGUGCGACCUUCUUUACUCUUGCCAAAUUUUUUUUUUGUUUUUUAGUCUAAUUUCAAGAAUCUUAUGUUUUCUAAUUUUUCGCAAUAGUCAUUUCAGUUCUUCCUUGAAUAUACAUAUUUUAUUUUUUUCACUUUCUUUUUGACACAAAUUCCAUGACUUUAUGCAUCUCCUUUUAGUUUGUAUCCUUAACAGCAUGUUGGAUUAUGUUUUUAUCAUGAUUUGACUCUUGUAUCACGUACUGACCCAAGAGCCAAUAAUGGUUAUCAAAUAUAUUAUCAAGAAGUUGUCAUAUUAUAAAUGCUUAUAAUAUGUAAAAAUUAAUUAAAAUAUAUUAUAUAUUGAUAAAUCUAAAUGUGUGGUAGAGUGGCUAGUAGAUUAAAUUAAAAAGAGUUGGUAUAAAAAACUUUACUUUGUUUCUUUACUUCUUUUGAUUUUGACAUUAAAAUAUAUACAUAUAUAUAUAUAUAUAUAUAUAUAUAUAUAGGACCUAAAUGUUUAGUAUGAAGCCUUGGGAGAAGGUAGAAACCUAAGGAUGAAAAUCUAAACUAGUAGGAGACUAAUUGGAAGGGAUGAAAGCAAGGCAUGGUCAGAUGAAGGCAAGGAAUGGGAAACAUCAUCCCUAUUGGUCGAAUACCAUGCCCAAUGGGCUUUGAGGAGGCUGCCCGCAACCUUAAGAAGGAUUUCAGUGACUUCAAAGAGAGCAUUCAGAGAUUACAAGCAAAUGUUGUAAAGUUUAGGAUUUGGAGUACAAUUUGUGUGCAAAAAUUAGAGGAUUUGGAGUUAGAGUGAAAAAUUAAUAGCCGUUUGAAGUUAAGGUGUUUAUUUAAGACAUACUAUUACUCUUUAGAGAGUACGAGGAGUUUUAUAGGAGCUUUUGAAGAUCGAAAGAUGUGAUUGAAAGUGCUAUUUCAAGGCCUACAUCUUUCAUAAAAAAUUAUUGCUUUUAGAAUUUAUAUGAAGGAGUUGUAAGGAGUUGAAGGCGGUGCUUCCAAAUCAAAAGCAGUAGGUAAGCGAGUUUAUUUGUAAUAAUGGUUGGAGCCAUAACUUGAGUUUUCAGACGAAUUUUUGGCUCAAAAUUUUUGGAGAAUGUAAAAUUUUUUAUUAAAAAGCUAUACAUAUAAAUUUCGUGGAAUUUGAGCUUAUAUUUUGUGAGAUAUGAAGAAAAUUGCACAUGGAUGUAUAAAGAUAAGGGUUUGAAGUGACUAUUAGGAUUUUCAAGAUAUCUCAAGAUUUACAACGAAAUUGCAAUUAAAAAUUGUUGUAAAAGUUAAUAAGAAUACAUCAGUACCUCAUGUAAAAUUUGAGUUUGUUUGGACGGUCGGAUUAGGAGAUAUGAGGUGUUGAAAUUCGGAAAAAUCUCCACAUAAGAAUAAACAAGGUUUUAGAAGAUUUUAUCAUAUUUUGGAAGUUGUGGAUUACUUGAAGAUUGUGUAUUUAGUGUAAUUACUCAAAAAGGAAAAAAUUAUAUAUAAACUUAGGGCUUUCUUUAUUUUCAAGCUUGAUUGAAUAAUUAGUGACAGCGAGAAGCCCAACAUUUUUCUUGAGGUAAACUCUCUCUACUCCGACAACGUUCCUACUUUGAACCAAAAAAAGGUGAGGUAGCAUAUGAUCAAUAACAGGAAACCUAGUUAAAGCUUGAGCAUUUUCAUCUUCAAACAAGUAAUAUAUCAAUACCUAUGAAUUUAUCAUUUCUUAAUUAGAUUUGUAAAGCCUCUACCAGGGAUCUUCUUAUUUUUAAUAACAAGCGUCUUGGCAACAACCUUCCUGAAGAGUCUUCUAGUUUCAAGAUUGAAGACAACCUCAAACUGAUGGCCAAACAGAGUUGGCCAUCUGAAUUUUUCAGCAAUAUUUGAGUUGCACCAUCAACUAUCAAUAAAACAAUUAGACUUCCUACUUAUCAUUGGCAGAGUUUGCAUAUAAUAACACAAUUCAUGUAUCUAUACAAUAAAUGUCAUUUUACUCAAAUUACAAUCAUCAUUUAAAGUUGGAUAUAAUAGAGCCUUCAAAAUCGGUAAAUUGAGCAGUAAAGAAGUUUGCUAUAAAUAUGGUUGAACUUCAAGCAAUCAUGAAGACUCACCUAGAAAGGGCUCAAUAACAUUAUAAGCUAGUGGCGGAUGAAUUGAAAAAGAAACAUCCUCCAUUCUAAGUUGGUAACAAAGUGUGGCUUCUUCGAUGUAAUAUAAAAACCAAUAUACUAUGUUAUAAGUUGGACUAUCAAAGAUUGGAACUAUUUGUGAUUCAGAAACAAAUCAAUAAUGUAACUUAUCGCUUGGAAUUACCUUCAUUCAUGAAGAUUCAUCUAGUCUCCCAUGUUUCACUUUUGAAAAAGUAUGAAGAAUCAAACAUACUAGAGCAGAGACAACCACCACUUCUUAUGGUUAAAAUCAAUGAUCAUGUUGAAUUUGAGGUAGAAAAAGUAUUAAAUUCAAGAAUAAGUCAUAGAAGGCUUGAAUAUUUAGUCUAUUGGUACUGAUAUGAUAUUAAUGAUUGCACAUGAGAACCAGUUGGUAACUUUGUAAAUGCACAAAUGAAGGUUCAAAAGUUCUAUCAACGACAUCUAUCUAGACUAAAAGCAGCAAAAUGAAGAAUAAUAGCUUAGUAAGAUGGCUUCACCAUGAAGAUUCUUAAUUCUUAGCCUCAUAAAGAAAGAAAGGAAGCAGCCUUUGAAAAGGCAGUUUUUUCAAAUAUUUAGAAUAAUAUAAGUCAAUAGUUCGAGUUCAUAAUCAUAGCCUGUUUAUAUUCUUUUGUCAUGAAUAUAUAUAUUUACCUCAAUAGUUACUUAUAUAAUUAAGUAGAAAUAAGUAAAUAUAGAAUAAUUUCAUAAAGUCUUCAAGAUAAGCUUCUUAGAAGCUUCAUAGAUGUGAUUUUGACUUUAGAUGUGUUUGUAGAUUAGAAACUUGGCCAAAAAGCUAACCAUGUAUUAGUAGCUUGUAGAACAAGUUAUCUUCGUGUAGUAGCUUGUGGAACAAGGCAACUACAUGGCACAUACAUAGAUAACUUAUCUUAUGAGAUAAGACAUGUGGCUAGCAAAAUCAACAUAUAUUGGAGGUCCUGUAGGACAUCGCUAAAUAGUUUUUAGUUAGAUGGUACAUAUGGAGGCAAGAGUGAAGCCUUCUUCAUUCUUGUCAACACCUUUUUAGACUUGGUCUUGUUUCAAGACUUUCUAAUCUUUUUUGGUUUUGACAAUAGCCAUUAUAGUUAAUAUUACAUCACCUUUUUGAGUGACUUUUUAGUUCUCUUCAGUGAUAGAAGAGUGUAUUGAAGAUUCUCUUUCUUUGAGAUUGAUGUCCUUGACAAUUUGACAAGAGUGCUAAUAUAUUUUUUUUUGUCUUCUUUUAGGAAUGAAUAGAUUAUUCCACUUCUAUUGUUAUAUGUUUGAAGGUUGCAGACUAACCACCUUUAAACAAAAAAUCUUAUUUUCUAACAUUGAUCUUUUCUUUAAAGAGAGUCGAUUACUCUCUUUGUAGGAUUUAUUUUUAGAGGUUGUGGAUUAUCUUCCUUUAAUUAAACUUUUGAAUUUAUUUGAGUUAUCUAUGGAAGGAAAGAUUAUGGAUGCUACUCUCAAUAGAAGUGAGAAUAGAUUUGCAACUAUGGCAGAUCUUCAUGAGCUUGUCAAAACUAUAAGAGUUGAAAUCUCAUGAAUUUCUAACGUGAAUCAUAGAAGUACUAUGCCUAUACAUAUAGAAGAAGUUUAAAGUCUAUGGCAAGAAGUUGUGCAAUUGAAAGAAGCAAGUAGAUCAAGAUUACAACCAAAUCUAGGGAGUUUUGCUUUUAUAAGUAUGGCAGGGAUAAGAAUUAGUAUGCCUGAGAAGUUUGAUAGAACAAGAUCAAAAUUUUGAAGAUUUUUGCAACAAGUCAAGCUUUACCUAAGGUUGCACUCUUUCAAAUAUCAUCAUGGAUUUAUCCAAGUCAGAUUCAAGGGUGCACUAUUAUCAAAAAGUGCUCUCUCUUCAUUUGUACCUUUAAUAGAAAAAGAUUCAUGUCUCUUUUAUCAUUUGAAUUCAUUCCUAGAAGUAUUUACGGCCACAUUUGGAGAAAGUGAUUAAGAACAAGUAGCACAGAUCAAGCUUUUAUCCUUAUGACAAGGAUCACGAUCAGCUACUACAUAUGCUGUCGAAUUCCAAAGCUUUGCUUGCAACGUGGACUAGAUGUCACAGACAUACUCAUGUAAGCUAGUAAUUACAUAUACAAAUAGGUGGAAGUAAGUAAAAGUAAGUAAAAGUAAGUUAAUUCUAUAGUAUUUAAUAUGAAAGCUUUUUAAAAGCUUCAAAGAUACUUCUUUGACUUCAUAGGUGUCUUUAAUUGACUUUUUGGAUUAGAAACGAGGUCAAUAAGUUGGCCAUGUGCCACACAUGUUGUUAGCUUAGAGAUCAAGCUAACUAUGUAGCUCAUACGUAGAAAAACUUACCUUGUAACUCAAGGCAUGUGUCCUACAAAGUCAACACAUAUUGGAGGUCCUAUAGAACAUUGCCACAUAGCUCCUAAUUAGAUAGUAUAUAUAGAGACAAGCGUGAAGCCUUCUUCACUCUUGUCAACUCUUUUCUUGCUUCCAAUCUAGUUUCAAAGGUCUCUAGUUUUCUUGUCUUUUGGCAAUAGCCAUUCUAAUUUCUCAUUCAAUAUACAUACUUAUUUAAUUAUAUUUUAUUACCUUUCUUUGAGUGAAAGCUCACUUAUCUAAAUUGCUUUUUCAUCGAGUUCUUGUCCUUGGCAGAUUGAUAAGAAUACACCUAUAAUAUCAGAGCUUUGUCUAAUCUUGAUUAAGAGUAGAUUACCCCUUUUUUUUGAUAAGAUAUAAGCAUAUUAGAAGUUGCGGAUUACCUUCUUUUAAAUUGAUAUUGUCCUUAGUAUUUUCUUUGUUCUUAAGUCCUCUCUUCUAUUUGUCUUUAGUGAUAUUAAACAUCUUCUCUUUUCUAAGUGUUAUCAUGACAGAACUUGUUGAAAUGAAGAAUGCUAUCGCACAAAUACAAGAGUAAUUGAGGGAGUUAAUGCUUGCAAUGCAUGAACUCAAUUUACCACCACAAGGAGCAACAAGAUUGGCAGAAAGUAAAGAUAUAGAAAUGGUUGGAGCUGCUUCAACAUCUGCACCAAACCAUGUCUUUUUUCCUAUGGUGGAACGCCCUUCAAAUAUUACAGAAUCAAGAAUUGUCCUACCCGAGAAGUUUGAUGGCACUAGAUCCAAGUUUCGAGGAUUUAUCAAUCAAGUGCAACUUGUGAUUGAACUUCAACUCCAAAGCUAUCCAACUCCAGGAUAGCAAGUUAGAUUCAUUGGUAUGCUUCUUUCAGGUUCAGUACUAUCGUGGUUUUCUUCUUUUCUUGAACAACGAGAUCCAAUAUUACUUAAUAUAGAGGCUUUUUUGGCAGAGUUUCGAUCCAUGUAUGGAGAAUAUGAUGCAAUUUGUGUUGCAACCAAUAAGAUCCAUAUUUUACGACAAGGUAAUCGAUCGGUAAUGUUGUAUGCUACACAAUUUUGAUAACUUGCAACUGAUAUCAAGUGGGAUGAUGCUGCACUUAUUAGCCAAUUUCUCUAUGGAUUACAAUAUGAGGUAAAAAAAUUAAUGCUCAACUUACCUGAUCCUCAAACAUUGAGUCAAGCAAUUGACUUUGCUGUGAAGUUUGACAAUCGCCUUUUUGAAUUCUGAUCUGAGAACUGAUCUCAACGUUACUACAAUUCAAUGGCAAUACCAACACCUCUUCAACACAUACAUUCGGAAGUAGAGGAUAUGCAAAUUGAUGCAGUAUGUUUCAAACCUCUUAUUGAGCAAGAAAAGACUUGUCGUCAUCAAGAAGGAUUAUGUUUAUAUUGUGGAGAACCAAAGCACACUACUCAACACUGUCCAAAGAAAUGACGCAAUCACAAAAUGUGGAGUACAGUUGUGAAAGAAGACAAUAUGUCGGAAAACGAGUUUGUCCAACUAUAAUAGGGACCGUGUGGCUGGAACCUUAUACAACAUCCAGUAAAGGUCUUAUUCUCUCAUCGAAGUCCUCUCCUUGUUUUACAUUAAAUGUUAUUUUAGGACUUAAACAUUACAAAGUCUUUACCUUGUUAGAUUCAGGAGCCUCAGCAUGUUUUUUGGAUGAAGAAUUUACUAAAAGACAUAGCAUAUCUUUAGUAAAGAAAACUAAAUCUCUUCAUGUAGAAGUCAUAGAUGGUCGUCCAUUAUCUUCUGGAGAUAUUACUCACAAAUUCUUUCUUAUAGAAGUAAUAAUCAAUGGUCAUAAUAGUUUUGUAGUAUUUAAUAUCAUUAGAUCUCCCUCUAAUCUAGUCAUUUUAGGUUUAUCUUCUUAUAGAAAAAUACAACCCUCAAAUAGAUUGGAUUUUCCAAACUCUUACUUUCUCUAAAAGUAUAACUAACAAUGAAGUUAAUCAAGUAGAGAGUCAAAAGUCCAGUUCAAUUAAACCCGUAUUUAUAGGUGCAAAAGCUUUCUUGCAUGCUACUAUGAAAGAAUCACCAUAUAUUAUUUAUGCCACACUUCUUUCUACUGGUGAAAAGACUUCAAGUGGCAUUCCAAGCCAAUAUCAAGAAUUUCAAGAUGUAUUCAAAAAAAAGAAUGCGAAUACACUCCUGGAAUAUCGUCCCUAUGAUUACUCAAUUAACCUUCAAGAAGGAGCACAACCGCCAUUCGCACCAUUCUACAGUUUAUCACAAAAUGAGUUGACUAAACUCAAGGAGUAUAUUGAAGAAAAUCUAGCCAAGAAUUUCAUACGCCAUUCUAAAUCUCCAGCAGGAGCUCCAAUUCUAUUUGUGAAGAAAAAAGAUGGAUCAUUGCGGAUGUAUGUUGAUUAUCGAGGACUCAACAAGAUUACCAUCAAAAAUAGGUAUCCACUAUCUUUAAUAUCUGAACUUCUUGAUCAGUUGAAUCAAGCUAAGAUCUAUACAAAAAUAGAUCUUCAGGAAGCAUACAAUCUAGUACACAUCAAAGAAUGAGAUAAAUAGAAGACUACAUUUUGAACUAGGUAUGGACAUUUUGAAUACAACGUCAUGCCUUUUGGACUUACAAAUAUACCAGCAGCUUUUCAACAUCUAAUGAAUGAUAUUUUUUGAGAGUUUUUGGACGAUUUUGUGGUCUGUUAUCUAGACGACAUCUUGAUCUAUUCUAAGAAUUUAGAAGAACAUGAACUUCAUGUUCGUUAUGUGUUACAAAAAUUAAGAGAUGCAAGAUUCUAUGCCAAGAUAGAAAAGUGUGUAUUCUACACUACUCAAGUCAAUUUCUUAGGUUACAUCAUUUCAAAUGAUGUACUUAUGAUAGAUCCUAAGAAAGUUCAAACUAUUAUAGAUUGGAAGAUCCUAAAAAUGAUAAGAGAUGUCCAAUAUUUUUUGAGAUUCGCCAACUACUAUCAGAUCUUCAUCAAAGAUUUUUCUCGAGUUGUAGCUCCACUUACACAUUUGACUUAUAAAGACAAACUCCAAUGGAAUCAAGAAGUGGAAGUUACUUUUGAAUCUUUGAAGACAACGUUUGUUUCUACACCAAUCUUGUAUCUUAUUGAUUUUUCCAAAGUAUUCUUUAUGUAAACAGAUGCAUGAGACUUUGCUCUGGGUGUAGUUUUAUCACAAGUAGGAACACAUGACAAACUUCAUCCAGUAGCGUUUCAUUCAAGAAAAUUCUCAGCAACAAAAAUCAAUUAUGAGAUCUACAGUAAAGAACUUCUUGUAAUUAUGGAUUCUUUUCAAGAAUGGCAUCAAUAUCUAAAAGACGCUUCUAGUAAAGUCACCGUGUAUACGGAUCAUAAGAACCUCAAACAUUUUAUGUCAACACGUGUAUUAUAUCAUCGUCAAGCUUGUUGGAGCAUGUCUUUAUCAAGAUUCGAGUUCAUCAUCACUUAUCAGCCAGAAAAACAACAAGGAUUAUCCGAUGCCUUAUCUAGAUAUUUUUAUCUUACACCAAAAGAAAGAGAUGCAGCUUUUGAGCAACAAGGAAUGGUUCUCUUGAAGCCGGAGUAAUUUCAUCUUCGAGCAAUAAAAUCAACAUUGACUAUUGAUUUAACUUUUCUUAAAUAAGUCCAGUUAAGUAUGUCUUCAGACCUUCUUGUUUAUGAUAUCAAGAAUAAUUCUUCUAAAUUUCAUGAUCCCUCUAAAUUUGAAUUCAAGAACAACCUAUUCUAUUUCGAAGGAUGCCUAUAUGUUCCAGAAGGAAAAGCACGUUUACGUAUUCUUCAAGCUCGUCACGACUUCUCAGCGGUACAACAUUUUGGAUAUAAUAAGGCUUUGGAGCUGAUAUCUAGGGAUUUUUGGUGGCCUCAAAUGUGGAAGGCAGUCAAAGAUUUUGUACAAUCAUGUGAUGUUUGCUCAAGAUCAAACACUCCUCGUCAUCGACCAUUUGGACUUCUUCAGCCAUUGCCAUUUCCAGAACAACCAUGGUCUUUUGUUUCUAUGGACUUCAUCACAGAUCUUUCAAUCUCAAGUUCUUAUAAUUCUAUAUUCGUGAUAGUAGAUCGUUUUAUUAAGAUGGCACAUUUUGUACCAUGUACAAAAUCUAUCACAGGUGAAGAAACAACUAAGCUCUUUCUUGACAAUAUCUAUCGCUAUCAUAGAUUAUCGAAAGAUAUUAUAUCAGAUAAGGGAAUUUAAUUUGUAUCAAGAUUUUGGCAGACUCUUUUUAAGAUUCUAAAAGUGCAUAUAAACUAUCUUCCGCAUUCCAUCCUCAAACUGAUGGAUAAACGGAGCGUGUUAAUCAAGUUUUGGAGUAAUAUUUAAGAUGUACCAUUAACUACCAACAAGAUGAUUGGACAACUCUUUUGCCAUUGAUAGAGUUUGCUUACAAUAACAUGAUAUAUUCUUCUACAAAACAAACACCUUUCUUUGCUAAUUAUGGUUAUCAUCCACGACUUGAUACUUUUGACUUUUCAAAAGUUGAUAAUCCUGAUGCAAAAGAUUUGGCGAUUCAUUUAUUAGAGCUACAUGCAAUGAUGAAGGCGCAGUUAAAAGAGGCUCAAGAACAACAAAAGAUCAAUGCGGAUAUCUAUCAAAAGGAACAACUACCAUUCCUCUUGGGUGAUAAGGUAUGGCUAUUUUUUCGCAAUAUCAAGACCACUCGUCCUUGUGAUAAGUUGAACUAUCGAAUGUCGGAACCAUUUUUUAUUUCUAUAGAAAUCAAUCCAGUUGCAUAUCGUUUACAUCUAUCAGAAUCAAUGAAAAUCCAUCCAAUAUUCCACGUGUGUCUUCUUAAACCAUAUAAGAUAGUGGACAUAUCAAGAAGACGACAAGCUCCACCUCCUCCUAUAGAAGUGGACAAUAAUGAAGAGUUUGAAGUAGAAGAAGUCUUAGAUUCAAGGCGACGCCAAAAUAAAUUAAAAUGUCUUGUCCAUUGGCGCGGAUAUGAUAUUAGUGAAUGCACAUGAAAGCCAAUAAAGAAUCUUGCAAAUGAAGCAAAGGUGGUGGAGGCUUUUCAUUGAUGACAUCCAUCAAAAUCAAGAUGAAAAUCUUUUUUAUAAAAGAAACAACAUCUAGGCAAGAUAACAUUCUACUUUCAAUCCUUGUUUGUAGCUUCUUUAUAGUUGUGACACUCAAGAGAUGGAGAACCAACAACUAGCGGAUUUGACUCAAGAGCCUUCAUUAGCUGAACUACCGGAUGAGACAUUAUGAUUGUCACAACCUUCAAGAUGAUGUAAUCGACAUGAAGAUCUUCAAGAACGACAUGUUCUUCCUUGAAUAGAUGGCGAGAUACAACGCGUUUGGUAUCACGAUUUGAGAAGGGACUCCCAAUGUUUGGUGAUUUUACUAGAGGUAGGAACAACUCUUGAUGGUGUUCCAAAUGUUCUAUUCGAAGGAAGUUAUGAAGGCCUCAACAAUGAUCAAAUAACUGGAUGGUCUUUCUGCCCUUGUAUGGGAAUCUACCGAUGGUUGAGAGGCCCUAUCAAUCCUCUUCGAAGAAAACAAAGAUCAGAGUAUAUAGCAAAUACAAUUUGUCGCAUCAUAGAUUUUUUCAACAUAUGAUGACCGAUCCUCAUGGAACUCGUCCCUAGAAGGGGUGAUAAUGUCACGGACAUACUCAUGUAAGCUAGUAAUUACAUAUACAAAUAGGUGGAAGUAAGUAAAAGUAGGUAAAAGUAAGUUAAUUCUAUAGUAUUUAAUAUGAAAGCUUCCUAGAAGCUUUAUAGACACUGCUUUGACUUCAUAGGUGUCUUUAAUUGACUUUUUGGAUUAGAAACGUGGUCAACAAGUUGGCCAUGUGCCGCACAUGUUGUUAGCUUGAAGAUCAAGCUAACUAUAUGGCCCACAUGUAGAAAAAAUUAUCUUGUAACUCAAGGCAUAUGUCCUACAAAGUCAACGCAUAUUGGAGGUCACCACUCAAUAUUGUCAAAAGAAGCAACCCAAUUACAAAAUGAAGAGCACAAUUACCAAAGAAGAUAAUGUAUCAAAAAACGAGUUUCUCCGGCUAUAAUAGGGAUCGUGCAGGUGGAAUCAUAUACAAUACCUAGUAAAGGUCCUAACUUCUCUUUAGACUCCUCACAUUGUUUUAUAAUAGAAGUAUAUUUUGAACCUAAUAAUCACAAAGUCUUUACCUUGUUAGAUUCAGGAGCCUCAGUUUGUUUUAUAGAUGAAGAUUUUGCCAAAAAUCAAAAAACAUCUUUAGUGAAGAAAGUUAAAUCCAUACAUAAAGAAGUCAUAGAUGAUUGUUUGUUGUCUUCUUGAAAUGUUAUCCAUGAAACUAUUCUUUUAGAUAUAGCAAUUAAAGAUCAUAAUAAUAUAGUAGUAUUUAAUGUAAUAAAAUCUCCCUCUAAUCUGGUUAUUUUAAGAUUAUCAUGGCUAGAAAAAUAUAACCCUCAAAUAGAUUGGAUUUUUCAUAACCUUAACUUUUUUGAUAGUAUAAUCCAAAAUCGCAUUGGCAAAGUAGAAGUAGAUAAGUCCAGUACGUCCAAACCUUUACUACUAGGUGCAAAAGCUUUCAUGUAUGCUGCAAAAGAAGGAUCAUCUUUUGCUUUAUAUGCUACAUCCAUCUCUAAUAGUGAAACAACAUUGAGUGGUAUUCCUAAGCAAUAUCAAGAAUUUCAAGACAUUUUUGAAAAGAAGAAUGUAGAUAUUCUCUCCGAGCAUCGACUUUAUGAUUAUUCAAUUGAUCUACAAGAAGAAGCUCAACCACCAUUCAGACCAAUCUAUAGCUUAUCACAAAAUUAGUUGGCUGCAUUAAAGGAGUACAUUGAUGAGCAUUUAGUAAAGAACUUCAUACACCAUUCUAAAUCUCGAGCCAGGGCUCCUAUCUUAUUUGUAAAGAAAAAAGACAUAUCUCUGCAAAUGUGUGUGGAUUAUCAAGGACUCAAUAAGAUCACCAUCAAAAAUAGGUAUCUUUUGCCAUUGAUUUUAGGACUUCUUGACCAACUCAAUCAAGCAAAGAUCUAUACCAAAAUAGAUCUACGAAGAGCAUAUAAUUUAGUUCGUAUCAAAGAAGGAGAUGAAUGGAAGACUUCUUUUUGAAUUAGGUAUGAAUAUUUUGAAUAUAAGUCAUGCCUUUUGGAUUCACAAAUGCAACGGCCACUUUUCAACAUCUUAUGAAUGAUGUUUUUUAUAAGUUUUUAGAUGAUUUCGUUGUUUGCUAUUUAGAUGACAUUAUAAUUUACUCUAAGAACACAGAAGAACAUGAGCUUCAUGUUCAUCGUGUAUUACAGAAACUUAGAGAUGCAAGAUUAUAUGCCAAGUUAGAAAAGUGUUUAUUCCAUAUUACUCAAGUUGACUUUUUAGGAUACAUCAUUUUCAACAAAGGCCUUAUGAUGGAUCCCAAGAAGAUUCAAACUAUCAUAGAUUAGUAGAUUCCAAGAGUAGUAUGAGAUGUAUAGUAUUUUUUGAGCUUUGUUAAUUACUAUCAAAUCUUUAUCAAGAAUUUUCUCAAGUUAUAACUCCAUUUAUACGUUUGACUUAUAAAGAUAAACUUGAGUGGAAUAAAGAAGCAGAAGCAUCAUUUGAUGCUUUAAAGAAAGAAUUUAUUUUUACACCAAUGUUAUAUUGCUUUGACUUUUCUAAGGUAUUUUUUAUGAAAACAAAUGCAUCAAAUUUUGUUAUAGAUGCCAUGUUGUCAUAAAUAGAAAUAGCUGACAAACUCUAUCCAAUAGCUUUCUAUUUGAAGAAAUUUUUAGCAAUCAAGAAUAAUUAUGAGAUCCAUGAUAAAGAGCUCUUUGCAAUCAUGGAUUCAUUUCAAGAAUAGCAUCAUUAUUUAGAAAGCACUUUAAGUCUAGUUACAAUAUAUACAAACUAUAAGAACCUCGAGUACUUCAUGUCAGCACAUGUCCUGAAUCGUCAUCAAGUCCGUUGGAGCAUGUCUUUAUCUAUAUUCAAUUUCAUGAUCACUUAUUGACGCAAAAAACAACAAGGUCUAUUGGACACUCUUUCUAGACGUUCUUAUCUUGUACUAAAGGAAGGAGAUGCAUCUUUUAAUCAACAAAGAUCAAUUCUCUUAAAGCUUGAGCAUUUUCAUCUUUGAGCAAUAAAAUCAACAUUGACUAUUGAUUCAAUAUUUGUGAAGCAAAUUCAAGCAAGCAUGUCCUCUGAUCCUCUUAUUCAAGAUAUAAAGGAUACUUCCUCUAAGUCUCAUUAUAUUUCUAAGUGUGAAUUCAAAAAUAAUCUAUUAUAUUUUGAAAGAUACCUAUAUGUUCCAAAAGGUCAAGCUCAAUUACGUGUUCUUCAAGUUUGUCAUGACUUUCUAGUAGUACGACAUUUUGGAUACAAUAAAACUUUAAAACUAAUAUCCAAGGAUUUUUGGUGACCACAAAUGUGGAAGGUAGUCAAAGAUUUUGUACAAUCUUGUGAUGUUUGUUCAAGAUCAAAACUCCUCGUCAUCGACCUUAUAAACUUCUUUAGCCGUUAUCCAUUCCAGAACAACCAUGGUCUUCUGUUUCUAUAGAUUUCAUCAUGGAUCUUCCAAUCUUAGGUUCUUAUGACUCUAUAUUCGUGAUAGUAGAUCAUUUUAUCAAAAUGGCACAUUUUCUACUAUGUACAAAAUCUAUCAUAGGUGAAGAAACAGCUAAGCUUUUUAUUGACAAUAUCUAUUGUUAUCAUGGAUUAUCAAAAGAUAUUAUAUCGGAUAGGGGGACUCAAUUUGUAUCAAUACUUUGGAGAAUCCUAUUCAAGAUUCUAAAGGUGGAUGUAAAGCUUUCUUCAACUUUUCAUCCUCAAACUAAUAGACAAACAGAACAAUAUGAAGAUACAAUUAAAAGAAGCUUAAGAACAACAAAAUACUGACACAAAUGCCUAUCGCAAGGAGUAACUACAAUAUAAUAUGGAUGACAAGGUAUGCAGCCUCCACAAAGCCCAUUGGUCAUGAUUUUUGACCAAUAGGAAUGGAGAUUUUCAACAUCCAUAUCCAUUCAUCUCUAUUGGUGCCUAAAUACUUCCAUUGCUAUCAAAAUCCUUCUUCAAUCUUUUUUCUUAUAAGAUUUAUAUAAUUUAUGCUCUAAACACCAAAUAAAAGAAUCAAAAUAAGUUUUUAAAGGUCACCAAUAUCUAACAAAGGUGACUCUAAAUAUUUAGAAGUUACUAUCAAUCAAAAUCAAUCUUAAAAGCCACUAUCAAAAAAAAAUUAAAGUUAUACAAAUUUUAUAGUAAUCUUUUUAAACAACCUCUUCUCAAAGUAAUAAUCAAAUUAUAUUCUACAACCAAUUAAAAUCUACUAACAUAGCUCUCACCAUGUUACUUAAUAAAUUAUAUAUUAAUUACAUAAUUACAUUAUUUUCAUAUAGUAGCCGAACCACAACACGACAACGUGUCUCUUCUCAAGCCGUACAAGAUAGUGAAAAUCUUGGAAAGAAGAUAAAUGCCACCUCUUCCUAUAGAACUGGAUAAUAACCAAGAAUUUGAGGUGGAAGAAGUCUUAGACUCAAGGUGGCACCAAAAUAGGUUGGAAUAUCUUGUUCAUUAGCGCAGUGUCAUAUUACGUGAAGUCUUGCUUGAGAAUGCACCAGGCACCUAGUUGUAGAAGGUAAAAGAAAAUUAUAACAAAAGCUCCUAACAAUCCAAUAGGAUUAUAGAGAAAUUACAAUUAAACAUUAAUAAUCAUAAUCAAACCUUAAGCAAGCUCAAUUAAAUUAUAUUGAAGUUAUAAAAAAAACACAAAGAAAUCUUAAAGAAAUAUAAAAGAAUAUUAAAGAAAACUUAGUCAAAUUCUAAUAAAAAUCUGAAUAAACCUUAAAUUCCAACCAAAUCCUAAUCCUAAUCUAACCUUAAUCAAAUCCUAGACAAAUCCUAAAUCCUAAACAUACCCUAGUCAAAUCUUAGAUAAAUCCUAACCCUAACAAAUCCUAAUGAAUUCCAAAUCCUAAACAAACCUUAGUCAAAUCCUAAAAAAAUCUUAGUCAAACCCUAGUCAAAUCCUAACUCUAAACCCUAACCAAAUCCUAAAUUCUAAAUCAAAUCCUAACCAAACCCUAAUCCUAAUCCUUAAUCAAAUUCUAAUCCAAAUCAAAUCCUAAUCACAGAUUUGAAAUUUAAAUAACUAAAGAUUGAACCGUUGAUUCUAAUUCAAAAUUUUCA
Molecule: long non-coding RNA, 65223 nt
Filed under: Physcomitrium patens
Lineage: Eukaryota; Viridiplantae; Streptophyta; Bryopsida; Funariales; Funariaceae
Description: long non-coding RNA (PPAT_LNC005260)
Source: RNAcentral